AGUCCCCUUCCCCCCUCUCUCUCUCUAUGAUCAGUUUCUCUCUCACACACAUAUAACGCACGAAGCCACGCAGUCAACGUGUCCCGGCGCAAUACCCAACACCUCUCCCCCAAAGCAAACCUUUUAUUCCAAACCCCAACUGAAUUCCAUUCGCAAUUAAUUGCCAAGCAAAUCCUGUUCACAUUAAUGCGAGCUUUUAUUGUUUUUUUCUUGAAUCAGUCGUCUUAAAUUUGACAAAUUCUCCAUAGAUUAUUGAUGCGCGUGUCUUCUGCUGCUGUUCUUCUUGUCCAUUGAUUCCCUGCAUCAAAUCAAUCUCGGCCGUUCGCCGCCUCUCUCAUUUCUCACUUUUUGUUCUUGAAUUAAACAUAUAUAUAUAUAUAUAUUUUUUCCGUUUAAUGAAGUUCGGUGGUGGUCUCUGCUGUUUUGAUUGUUGUCGUCCACAGUUGGUGUGGAAUUUCUUUGAUCAAAGUGAUUUAGCAUUGUCUUCCUCAGGUUUUUUUAUUUGCUUAAUUUGUUCAGUUGAUGUUCGAUUUGAUGCUGUAAUUAUUUAAUUUAAUUUUGUUUGCAAUUUGAUGAAACAGUUGUGGCUGGUUUAAAUUUGAGAAAGAAGGGAGGUUUAAUUACUCAUUCUGCAGUCAAUGGCGAAUUGCGACAAUGGCCGAUCCGUUUUUCCCUUAACAAACUUACAAAUUGGGUAUAUUUUAUUGGAAUCUUAUGGACUCUUUUCAUUUUUUAAUGCAUCAGAAGCAUGUGCUUUGUUUUUGUUUUUUUGUUAAUGAUCUGAGUAUGCAUGUUCUUGUUUGUUAGGCUCGCAUGUGUUAGAUGUUUUUUAUUGUAAGUUCACCUUUGAAAGUUCCUUUCAAACUCCGAUUUUGUGUUCAUCGAUUUUGCUGUAUGAAGAAUUUAAUCUUACCUCUUUUAACCUAAAACGGAUAUACACUAAUUUUGUGUGUUUAUUUUUUCCAUUUGGUGAUAAAAAUAAUUGUAAAAUUCAAGUAUACAUAUUUUCAACAGGCGACGAUGCGUUUUUUUGUAAAAUCUCAGAUUUUACGAAAACAAUUGCGGAUUCAUGAAUACCUUGCCAGAUUUUUAUCCUUUGUCUAAAAUAUGAUUUUUCCUGUGUCUAAAUUUGAUGUUAGAGAUCAUUACUCGAUGUUGGACGCUUAGUUUGAUUAAUCAUGGUGAUGUUUAUCUGUUAUCAGGGAUUUGCAGUCAUAUCUUUCACAUCUCAGCCUGUUUAUGGCAUCUGACAGUGGAAAGUUCUAUAUCUUGGUGGACAACAGACCCUGGUUAAAAGAUCUCGUGUCACGGCCUACGCAUUUGUGGCAGUUGAUGGUCACUAAGGUUAAACUCGCCAUCCUAAUCUAGUUAAUUAGCAGGAUCUUCGAACUUUUAACUUUUAGUAACUAACACAGGUUUGAAAAUACUUUUCUGCUAAUUGUGCAGUCCAGGUUGUCCCCAUUUGCAAACACUCGAGGUAGGAAGGACAAAAGGAUGAUAGGAGAAAUUUCAGAGCUUAAUGAUUCUUCGUCAUCGAACACAAGUAAACUAAGAAACUUCAAACAGUGGUUCUCGUUGAUUGAUGCUCUGAUGUUAUCCAGACAGAGGGCUUUGCUACCCGUAAAGAAGCUUAGGAAUUCUUUGAUUGCAAACAGUAAGUUGCAUAGAACCUUGUAUGGAUUCAUUGUGUUUGAGGUUGCAUGGAAAGAUAUACGGGGUAUUAACUAUUUGAAUGAGCUUCAGGUAAGCUAUUAUCGAGUUAUUUCAUUUAUCUACUCUACUUUGACAUAUGUUUCAUGGACUCUGAAAUUCGUGUUUCUUACAAUGCCGUGUUAAGACCGAUACUUCACUUGCAUUAGAGGCUAAAGUCAUGAGAAGGUGGGAAUUUGACAGCAUAGGACAAGCAGCCAGGUCAAUAUGUUCAUGGUUCCCGGGCACACUUAACGAACAGAUUCUUCUGAAAGAGCAUUUAGAUGCUACUUUAGGUAUUUUACAAGUUAAACCCCUCUCAUAGCUUUGUUUUAACUUUCUUAAUUCUUGGCUAUCAUUCUUGUGUGAAACAAAUUUUGAAGUGAGAGAAACAUGUUAAGGGAACUUCACUUAAAUUUAUGUACACCACCACAGCAAGUGAGCUUAAAUUAUUGGCUAUUCAAUAUGUAUACUGAAAUUGUGUCCGUAUAAUGGGGUAAAAGUUUAAAUUUAGUUGCAGUUUUACUGUGUGUUUUAUGGCAUGUAAUUCUUCGUUGACAUAUGAACUGUUGGCUAUUACUUUGUCUCGUGGAAUUGUUCGAUGUUGAGUGAAUUUAUUUACUGUUCUGUGAGCACAAACAGUGUUCAAUGAGCAAGACCGUGAUUGGAUGUGAGUUGAGGAGUAAUGAAGUGUAAUUUUGAGAAACAUCAAAUUAUGUUAGUGCUGGAUUUUGUUUUAUUUUAUGAUACGUCUCGCUGUUUAUGUUAUUUGGUAGAUUGUGCAUUAUCCAACCAACGAGUAUUUCAUUAUUUUUUCUAUUAGUGAUGAACUUCUCAUCACUAAUAAACUUGGACAACAUUUACUCUCUCUAAUCUGUAUCACUAAUAAACUUGGUUAUAGGUAAACAUUGUGAAAUUUUUUAGGUUACUAAAUCUGAGAUUGUUGCAGGGGAGAUCUUCUAUGAUGCUCAAGAAAGUUUCCCUAGGAGUAAUGAUGAUGGCGACGAUGAUGGUGGUGAUGAUGAUGUCGCUUGUGAUGACAUGUCUGACGAAGAUGAAUCUCCGUGCUCUGUGAGUGGCAGUUUCAAUAGUUUCAGCGUUUAUCCAGUAAUAACGGGAAACAGGACGAACAGACUAAAUACACCGCCUCUCCUUAAUGGUCCUUACAAGAGAAGGAAAGUCAUGAGGUCCAUCUAUCGUGAGCUCGGUAUUUCUUCUGAAGAAGCAGACUCUGAAACUGUUGAAAUAUUGUCUAACAGCCCUGAUUCAAGCGAUUGUGAAGAGACACUUAACCCUAAUCUGUACAGAGAUGUUUUAAUUUUGUUCCGAUUCAAUGAUCGAGACCUCCCUUUUAAACUAAAGGACAUAAUUAUGUCUGAUUUGCGGCUACUUACUCUUCUCGAAGCUGGGCUUCCAUCAUGGGUUAUUUUCCUUCAGUCGUACCCGGUAUUUUUCCAUUUUUACCGUCCGUGGAUGUGUCCCUUGGCCCGAGCUCUCUAUGUGCUUAUAUCAAUUGUAACUGUCCUUAUUGGAUUCUACGACUUGUACAAGAAUGUACCUCUCCUCAAGGCAACAGCGUCUAGUUUGUUCGGACCCCUCUUUGAUUGGAUAGAAACGUUGGAAAUGAUUUCAAGAAUCAAGUAUUUGGGAACCAUGUUAUUUCUUCAUAAUUUUCAGAAGGCAAUCAAGUGGUUUCUCAUGGUGACUCGGACUGUUCGUUCGUGUCUUUCAUUUUUCAUCGAGCCAAUGGCCGGACCUUUUGCCGAGCUUUUGGAACUGUUCCUUCCUGUUUGGAGUAUUUGUAUUCAACUAGCCGAGAGUUUCUUUUCAGUGACUUGGAUGGUGGUUGAGUCUUGUUUCUCGACGGUUGGAGACCUUGUAGAGAUUUUACUGAUGCCUUUAUGGUAUAUCUUGUCUGUUGUCUGGAAUGUCGGUGAGUUAGUUAACAUACUCGCUUUAGAUAAAUAUGUUACAAGUUUUCCUUUCCUUUACGCUGUCGAUUUUUCAGACUUCGUUUGUGACAUCAAAAUUUCUUUUGAUAUUGUGUUUGAUUUUUGCAGCGAUAUAUGUUUUAUACCCGAUAUUCUGGAUUCUGUGGGAAGUUCUUUAUGCUCCAAUUCGGCUGGUCCUUGGAUUUUGUAGCCUUGUAGCUUACUUGUGUACAUCUAUGUGUGACUUGAUCGGGGAUUUGUUGCUAUUGGCAAGCAGCAUUUUUAAUUUUACAAAAGAUGUUGAGUCGACAGUUAGCUCGUAUGAGGUUUCUAUGUGGCGUUCUCUCUGGAAUGACCUUUUCUCCCAGGUGUUUAUUUUUAAAGCUCAACCUUUUAAUCGGAGUUACAUCUCUGGUUUCCUUUUCUCAUCUUAUGGUAUUUUUAUCAGAUUUUCCGCGCUCUCCGAAGUAUUCUUAAUGGAUUUGUGGCAUUCUUCACUACCUGCAAUAGACAUCGCCUCAGGUACUUAUUGAAUUUUGACUCACAGUUCGAUGAAUCACAUCAUCAUGUUGUUUGGCAAACCUUCCAUAUAAAAAAGAAUGGCAUCUAAAAAAUAAUCGGAAUUAUUUUCUGCUAUUUGGCUAACUGUACAUUUUUUUUCUGCAAUGGUUGGAAUUACAGUAUCUAUAACCAUAUGAAGAAGCUCAACCGCAAAAUAUCAUGCACGGCUACGAGGCCAGCAGCUUCUGACAGAAAUAGUCGAAGUGGACCUACUUCCGGAGCUCAAACAACUGUAAGUAAUCAUUUCUAGCUUUGCGCAUAAAACAUAAUUGAUAUUCCUUGUGCUAAUAACCUGAAAUGUAUUCCCGUAUUUACUUUAUUUUAAUGGUUUACUUACGGCAGCCAAGAGUUAGGAAAGAGUUCCAUUCCAAGAAGACUGCAUGAGAUCGAUACAAAACGUAUACAUUACAUACAACAACACUUUACGGCGGGUAAUAUCAUCUGUAUAUACGAGAGGAGGCUGACAAUAGGCAUCAAUUAGUGAGAUUUGUAUAUAUUAUAUCGCAAUAUUUGUGAAAGAAAUGAGAAAGAAAAAAGUCUUCGGAGGUGUUAGCAUUCACGACUAGAAGGAAAACAGUAAUCGGAGGUGUUAGAAUUCCUGUAAGAUCUGGGAUCCUUGAGUUAUUUUCUUUCUAAUCGUUGUAUUCUUGUAAUCUCACGAGGCGGGCUCACAACUUCUUCCGACUUAACCAUGUAUAUAUUCUUCUUCCUAAUGUUGCUGAUCACUUUUGUAAGUAAAUGCAUACAUAGUGUAUUAUAUCAUCAAUAUAGCGAGCUUACAAGUACGAAAUUCUUUCUCAUUAUUGGAUUCACCUUGAAAAUUUGCUGAUGAUUCAUCAACUUGGUAGCGUUGCAAAGAGUAAUGGUUUUGCGAAUUACUUGAAUGACGAAAAAUAGAUUAGUUUUCCGUGUGGAUAAAUUACGAGUCUUGUGCAAGACUUUAUUUAUAAAGUUUCCGUUUUAGAGAGGCCGAAUGUUUGUUUUAUUGGUACCGGUAGCCAACAAUUGAUGCAAAGGGGUAAAAUUCUUUGUAUGAGAUUGAUGUCUUUACUUCAAAGAAAAGACUGCACAAUAUAUAUUCCCUCAGCUCGCACAUUCUCUCUCAUGUUUGUUACAUCUUCACACAUUGAACCAUUUUCUACGUGCGAAACAAUAGCAAUUGCCCCAUUUCGAGCUUGAUUGUACGUUCGCAAGCGAGAUAGUAACAAGAUUUUGUAGUGUUUUGUUGAGAUUCGAGUAGAAGAUGAUUGAGUAACGAAGAUUUAGUGAAAUGAUUUUCAUAAUGUGCUUUGAUCAGGUGCUAGUGAAGAAAUUAACUCGACUGGCGUGGGGAUUUUCUUCUUGAAAAAAUAUUUAGAAAUUAGAAUAAUUACCUAAUAUAUACAAUUAAAAAAAACAAAAAAACAAAUUGGCACACACCCUAACACCAGUUCAACUGGGGUGUAGAGAAUAAUACACUUUUCCGAUGUCCCUUUGUUUAAAAUUAUCUAAAUUUAUUACCAAAUAGGUUUCCAAUUUCUUUUUUUUUUUUUUUUUUUACUUUGAAAUUGAUUUCAAAACAUGUUAAAUUAGGCAAUACAGGACGAUUAUAAUAUUGUUAUGAAUCUAAGGUGAUCAAAUGAGUGAUUAUGCCGUAUAAGAUCAAUACACACACUCAUGCACACAGAUCACACACACACACAGUAAUCAAAGAAGAACAAUGAACAAGAGCAAUUUUACGAGGUUCGAACUCGGUGUGAGUUCUACAUCCCCGGGAGCAGUACACUCCAAUCCACUAUAUUCAGAGAUUUCUACAAUUACACGUACACAGCAACAAGAUCAGAUCAUGAGCACAAAACCAGCUCAGAUCUGAUAGAAACCCUACCCAAACCCGAAAGGAGUUUCACUCUCUCUCCGCUUUCGUGUUUCCCAGUGUAAUGCACUCUCUCUCUAGUGUUGCUCACGUUGCCUUUAGCACAGCAGAUAUGAUGCUAUAUAUAUCCCAACCGAGGCACAUGAUCCCAUGUGCCUUCCACUUAUAUCAGCCAAUGAGAGCUCUUUCUUUUCCUCCAAGAAUCAGCUCUACCUAUCAUCUACAUGUGCAGCUCACGUGACCAUAUGCAUGUGCAACUCACAUGCAUAAUCCCAAGUGGAUUAAGUGUCAUAAACCGUAGAUUAGAACCAUAGUUUAACAAAUCUCCACCUUGGUUCAAUCUACAACACCUUGUACUGCUCCACCAUGCUCUUGAAAGCAUGCAGCCAGGAUAAAAUCAUGUCUUAGUUCUCCUCAUCCAAGUCUUGAACUUGCACUAAGUUCAAACAAUGUUGAAACUUAGUAAUUGGCAAUGCUUUAGUCAAAGCAUCUGCAGGAUUCUCUUCAGUAGCUAUCUUCUCCACUUUAAUCUGACCAGAAGCUACAACCUCUCUAAUAAAAUGGAACCUGAUAGCUAUGUGCUUUGAUCUCUCAUGAAACAUUGGAUUUUUAAUGAGAAAUAUAGCACUUUGACUAUCACAGUGUAAGAUGAUCUUCUCAUCUUUCCCAGACAACUCCUCCUUGAAUCCCUUUAACCAUAACCCCUCUUUCACAGCCUCAGUAGCAGCCAUAUAUUCUGCUUUUGUAGUUGAAAGAGCUACAACCUUUUGCAGACAAGAUUUCCAACUCACAGCUCCACCAUGAACUGUGUAAAUAUAACCAGAUAGAGACUUCCUUGUAUCUACACAACCAGCAUAAUUAGAGUCUACAAAACCUUGCACUGCAAAACUAUCUUCCUUGCAUCUCUUAUACAUAAUUCCCCAACCACAAGUACCUUUUAGGUACUUCAACAAGCUCUUCAAAGCAAUCCAAUGUGCCUUACCAGGCUCUGCCAUAAAUCUUCUUAAUAUGCUCAAAGCAUAAGCAAGAUCUGGUCUUGUUGACACCAUACAGUACAUAAUACUUCCAACAACAUUUGCAUAAGGAAUAUUCUGCAUAUACUGCUCUUCCUCUGAAGAUUUUGGCUUCUGAUUUUGACUCAACUUAAAAUGAGCAGCCAAAGGAGUUCCAACUGGUUUUGAAUCAAUCAUACCAUACUUAGAGAGGACUUUUUCUAAGUAUUCUUUCUGAGAUAGAAAUAACUCACUCUUCUUUCUAUUCCUCUUAAUAUCAAUGCCAAGUAUUCUACUUUCAUUUCCCAUGUCCUUCAUUUCAAAUUCCCAUUUCAGUUUGAUCUUGAGGUUUCUGAUCUCUCUAACAUGUUUCCCAAUGAUCAACAUAUCAUCAACAUAUAAGAGAAGAAGAAUUUGAUCCUCACCUUUUGAUCCAUUCUGACAAACACAACUGUCAUAACUGUUCUUCUCAAAGUUUAUUGACAGCAUGAAAAUAUCAAACCUCUUGUACCACUGUCUUGGGGAUUGUUUUAAUCCAUAUAGAGACUUGUGUAACAAGCACACCAUGUCUUCAUCACCAUUAUGAAAACCCUCAGGUUGCUUCAUAUAUAUAGUCUCUUCCAAUUCACCAUGAAGAAAGGCAGUGGUGACAUCCAUUUGUUCAAGUUCAAGAUCAAACAGAGCUACAAGAGAUAGAGCUAUUCUGAUUGAGGGUUGUUUCACAACAGCUGAAAAAAUCUCAUUGAAAUUUAUACCUUCUCUCUGAGUAAAGCCUUUUGCAACAAGCCUUGCCUUGUAUCUUGGCCUUUCAACACCAGGUAUUCCAGUUUUUAAUUUGUAAAUCCACUUACAGCCAACAAGUUUUUGAUUCAUUGGCUUUUUCACCAGUGUCCAAGUGUUAUUAUUCUUGAGAGAUAACAUCUCCUCUUCCAUAGCCAUCAGCCUAUUCUCAGUACUUGCAGUAGCUUCUUUGUAGCUUGUAGGUUCACUCUUGUUUGCCUCGUUUGCAACUGCAAGAGCAUAUGCAACGAUAUCUGCAUAUCCUAACAUGUUAGGCACUUUCUUCUCUCUUCUAACUCUAUCCCUAGCCAAUUGAUAAUUUUGAAGAUUAUCAACUUCUGUUGACUCUUCCACUGUCUCUUCAAUAGGUAGUGAUUCAUCCUCUAAACUUUCAUUUUCUAACAUUGGGGCAGGAUCAGCAAACUCCACCUCAAUUUGAGCUCCCCUUGUAUCAGCAAUGUCUGAAGAUGAAGCCUCCAUUAGCAAAGGCAUUUGAUCUUCAUUGAAAGUCGCAUCUCUGGUAAUUAUGCACUUUUGAUUUCCUUUUUCUAUGCACCAAAGUUUAUAGCCUUUCACUCCUUCUGGAUAGCCUAGAAAAAUGCACUUAAGUGCUCUAGCUUCCAACUUAUCCUGCCUCACAUGAGCAUAAGCAGCACAUCCAAACACUCUCAAAUGAUCAUAUGUGGGAGGUUGACUGGUCCAAAUCUCUUGAGGAGUUUUAAAUUUUAGAGCAGAUGAUGGACUUCUAUUUAUGAGAUAGCAAGCUGUAUUGACUGCCUCACCCCAAAACUUUUUAGAACAACCUGAACUCAACAGCAUGCAUCUCACUUUCUCAAGUAUAGUCCUAUUCAUUCUCUCUGCUAAGCCAUUUUGUUGAGGGGUACUCCUCACAGUUUUGUGUCUUGUAAUACCAGUCUCUUCACAAAAUUUAUUAAAUACUUCUGACACAAACUCCAAGCCAUUAUCAGUUCUUAGAUGUUUGAUUUUCAGACCAGUUUGAGUUUCUACCUUUUGUUUCCAUGCUUUGAAAACUGAGAAUGCUUCAUCCUUGGUUUUCAACAGAUAAAUCCACACUUUCCUAGAUUUGUCAUCAAUAAGUGACAUGAAAUAUCGGCAACCUCCCAUAGUCUCAGUCCUUGAAGGUCCCCACAAAUCAGAGUGAAUGUAUUCAAGAUUGUGUUGAGUUGUGUGAACAGCUUGACUGAACUUCACCAUUUUUGCUUUUCCCAAAACACAAUUUUCACAAAACUUUAGCUCUUUAAUCUUGCUUCCAUCAAGAAGCUUUUGCCUCACAAGCUCUUGUAUUCCUCUUUCACUCAUGUGAGCAAGCCUUUUAUGCCAUAACGUUGUAUCAUCCAAUACUACAACAUCAGUUGUAUUGGCUGACACAGAACCAUCUAGGAAGUAAAUGCCAUUUCUCAAAAUUCCCUUCAUCACUAUCAGAGAUCCUUUUAGGAUUUUCAUCACUCCACUCUUAGCUCUCAUUUCAUAACCAGCUUCAUCCAACUUACCAAUAGAUAUAAGGUUUCUUUUCAAGGCAGGAACAUACCUCAUUCCAUUUACCAGCUUCUUUUGACCAGAGGAUAGCUGCAAGUUUACAGCUCCAAUUACCAAGAUCUUGCAAGUUUUAUUGUCUCCAAGAAGCACCAUUCCUUUCUCUGAUUCCUUGAGAUCUUGAAACUAUUCCUUGUUUGGAGUCAUAUGAAAUGAGCAUCCAGAAUCAAGUACCCAUUCUCCACCUGAAUUUGGGUAUGAUGUUACUAAAACAUCUCCCUCUUCUACAUAGGUGGCAGUCAAUACAUCAGCAGAUUCAUAACCAUCAGAUGCUAUAGAUGCAUCUCCUUUAUCACUGUAGUUAGAGUCCACUUUCUUCUGUGUUCUUUCUGGACAGAAUCUCUUAAUGUGGCCUUCCUUUUUACACUUGUAGCAUCUUCUGGUAUCUCUGUUAGGUUGUCUAGAUUUAGAUCUAGAUUUUCCUCUUCCUUUCCUUUGGUCCUUCUUCUCUGUUCUUCCUCUCACUGUGAGUCCAUCACCAUUUACAUUUGAGCUCUCUUUGCUUCUUCUGUAGCUCCUUGGAGUUUAGCACUGACUUGACCUCUGUCAUAGUGAGUGUUUUCUCCCCAUAUAGCAUUGUAUCCACAAUAUGCUCAUAUGUCUUUGGUAAUGAACUGAGGAGGAUAAUAGCUUGAUCUUCUUCUUCAAUUUUAACUCCAACUGAAUGCAGAUCAAGGAUUAUCCUGUUGUACUCAUCCAAGUGCUUUCUGGUUUCAGUGCCUUCUUCCAUGUGAAGUGUGUACAGCUUCUUUUUUUAGAUACAAUCUAUUUGCCAGAGAUUUCUUCAUAUAGAUUGACUCCAAUUUCUCCCAAAUAGCUAGGGCAGUAGUUUCCUCUGAAACUUCCCUCAACACCUCAUCCCCAAGGCUCAGAAUCAGAGCAUUGUGAGCUUUUGAUAAUAUCUCUGGAAUUGCCUUUUGAUCUUCAAUGGCAGCUAAGGAUUUAGGAUCUAGAGCUAUAAAAGUACCCUGAUGAACCAUUAAGGCCUUCAUCUUUAUCCUCCAGAUAGUGAAGUCAUUUUCACCAUUGAAUUUCUCAAAUUCAAACUUAGAGGAACUCAUCUUCUUCAGAUCUGAAUCUGUGACUGUGUUGAAGGUAUAGAUCUGUGUUUAUUGAUGCACAAUUUGAAUUAACCAGUCACCUUCAAUCGAUCCACGCUCACCGCACCACUUGUUAUGAAUCUAAGGUGAUCAAAUGAGUGAUUAUGCCGUAUAAGAUCAAUACACACACUCAUGCACACAGAUCACACACACACACAGUAAUCAAAGAAGAACAAUGAACAAGAGCAAUUUUACGAGGUUCGAACUCGGUGUGAGUUCUACAUCCCCGGGAGCAGUACACUCCAAUCCACUAUAUUCAGAGAUUUCUACAAUUACACGUACACAGCAACAAGAUCAGAUCAUGAGCACAAAACCAGCUCAGAUCUGAUAGAAACCCUACCCAAACCCGAAAGGAGUUUCACUCUCUCUCCGCUUUCGUGUUUCCCAGUGUAAUGCACUCUCUCUCUAGUGUUGCUCACGUUGCCUUUAGCACAGCAGAUAUGAUGCUAUAUAUAUCCCAACCGAGGCACAUGAUCCCAUGUGCCUUCCACUUAUAUCAGCCAAUGAGAGCUCUUUCUUUUCCUCCAAGAAUCAGCUCUACCUACCAUCUACACAGUGGCGGAUCUAGCUAUGGUCUAGGGUGUGCAGCUGCACACCCUUGAUUUUAAAUAAAUACUACUAUUAUACAUAUGUUGACAGAAAAAGUAGGUGGUUGAGGUGGUAAAGAUAUGCCUCCCUUUACUAACAGGUCACGGGUUCGAGCUCCACUCACACAUUUUGAUUUCUUUUCCAAAUCUUAACAUUUUUCACCUUUUUGUUCCACUAUUUUGAUUUUUUUUUUCCAAAUCUUAACAUUUUCACCUUUUUUUCUCAUUAAAUAUUUCCACAAUUCACCUAAAAUUUUUACAUUGUAAAUUUUUGGUCCACUAUUUUUAUAAAAUCUUAACAUUUUCACCUUUUUUCUCAUUAAAUAUUUCCACAAUUCACCUAAAAUUUUUAAAUUGUAAAUUUUUGGUCCACUAUUUUUAUAAAGUGAUAUUUAAAUUUUUUACUCUACAAUUUCGAACCCCCUUGGCAAAAAUCCUGGAUCCGCCACUGCAUCUACAUGUGCAGCUCACGUGACCAUAUGCAUGUGCAACUCACAUGCAUAAUCCCAAGUGGAUUAAGUGCCAUAAACCGUAGAUUAGAACCAUAGUUUAACAAAUAUGUAUGUUGAUUACUAAAUGUUCGAUUAAUUGUUGUUAUGUGCACUUGAUUCGGUCGUUUUUGUCUUGAAUUUCGAUGGAGGUUGCGCAGUCAGUAAAUGUCAAUUUUUGAGAAUUUUUCGACACGUAUACGGUCGACUUUGAAAUAAAAUUCGACUCUUAACUGUUGAUUUUUAUUUCAAAAUUUUGACAUUUUAUAUAUAAAAAUAUAAAACUUAUACAUUUUAUAUAUUUUUCAAUUGUCGAUAAUUACAUGUCGAUUUUUGUAAAAUUUUUGACACGUUGAUGUCGACCCUUACUCGUAAAAUACACCUUAUAUAAAAAAAAUAAAAAAAUAAAAAAAAAGAAAGAAAAAACUCAUUUUUCUCAUUUUAAUUAGUUGAAGACCAAACUAAAGAAAAGAAAAAAAAACUCCCCACCCCCUAAAACGACCGGGCGAUGGCAGCUAGCUGUCAAAAGUUAUCAUGCAGAAGGAGAAGAAGAGAAGAAGGAAGAGAAGAAGAAGAAGCAACACAAGUAUAAGUAGAAGAAUAAGCAGGAAGAAAUCUGUAAACAAGAAGAUGGGUGUGAGGGUUUUGUGUGUAUUGGAUUAAAGAAAGAAAAAUGAGAUUUGUUUUAUAUUUGUGGAGUAUUGAUUUUCAUUAAGAGUAUUAACGUUAUUACAUAUUUAUUACGUGCCUAUUAUCUAUUUUGUUAGCAAAGUAGUAUUAAACUGAGAAAGAAGUUGUAUUUCUUAUUGGCCCUUCAUAUUAUGAUAUAUUCUCUAACAAAACAGAUAAAAAGUUCAAAAUUGGACCAAAAACUUUUGAAUAUUGUUGCCGAGUUAAUAUCAUUUUAUUAUUUAUUAUUAUUCGGAUUUAUUUAGAGUAAGUGGGCGGUUAUUGGUUAGCUUAGUGGGUAGUUACCUUAAACUUAUGCGUAUUUAUUCACUAACCCAUUAUCCCACUAACUCUCUAUCUUCUUUUAGUGUGCUAUUCUCGUGCAGGACAUGAUGUUCCUGAACUCUAUAAAUAGGAGAAGAUCCAAGUUCAUUUUUACCAAUUUCUGACGAGAAUCAAGAGCGCAUAGCAGAGAGUGUUGGAACACCGUCUACAACACCUUGUAUUAUUUACAGAUUUCUCAUUACAGAAUUGAGUCUGUUGUGUAUUCAAUCCUACUGAAUCCUAAAUUGUAUUCCUAGUACAUCAUUGAGUGCUUUUGUACUAGUUACUAGGAAUAGUCUAAGAAGAAAUCGUCUUGUGUUUCCUUCUUAGAAGAGAAGAGCUUGGCUUCUAAAUUGUAUUCUUUUGAAUACUGGUUUUAGCUUAUAAAGGUUUCAUCCACAAGUUAUAUACUUGUGGAUAAUGAUUUUAUAAAAAUUUAUAUUAUUUUAACAAAUUCGAAGGCACUCAACUCUUUCAAAUAUAUACUUGUGGAUAAUGGUUUUAUAAAAAUUUAUAUUAUUUUAACAAAUUCUGAGGCACUCAAUUCUUUCAAAUAUUAUAGCCCAAAAUCCACACAUUAAAAUACACGUGAGCUUGAGAACUCAAGUUCAAAUCUUUUUAGUUCAAUCGUGUCCAGUCGGCUCAUGCAACUUACGAAGAUCAUAAGCCAGCGCAAUUCAUUUAAUCCUUUAAUUUCUAUGAAUUUGUUAUACAUAUUUAUCGGACAUGUAAACAAGAGCGAAAUAACUUGGUUAUCCAAUACCAGCCUCGAGUACCGAAUAUGCAAAAUCGCGAAAUAAUCACUAGUGAAGCCGGACAAAGUAGAAUUUUAUGCUACAAUUUUUCACACUUUUCUGCAAAAGAAUUAUAAAAUAAAACCUGGACAAAGUGGAUUUUAUGCUACAAUUUUCACUCAUUUUUCUCUAAGAUCCAUAACCCCAAUUAAUAACUGUACAAAUGAUCAAGCAGCAAGUACCAUAACUUUGAUUGUUCCUCUACUAUUUGCAGCCAACAUGGUGGGGCUAUCACUCUUCCAGCACACCGCACUGAUGAAGUAAGAUCCUAAUUCUUCUUCGUUAUCAUCUUCCACAUCGGGAGAUCCAAAUUUAUGCGAUGUCGCUUGUUUGGAGAUGGCCUAAAUUUUACCGAUUUUUAAAUGUUAUGAUAUUCCAAACAUGUAAGAGUUUGACAAAAACAAGAGCUGAUUCCUUACCUUGUGAUAGACAAACACUUCGUUUGUUUCACUGCCACAAGAUAGGAACUCGCUAUUCACUGUGAGACCGACGAAAUUCUUCUCAUUUGUAUGCCCUCUAAAUGUACGAACCUGAAAACAAUACUCUUAACAAAUUUGUAAAAUAUAACUUAAAAAAGACAGCAAGCACCCGACGAUAGUUUUCAUACAUCAGGUAAUGAACUCUAUAGGUCCCUGGGAAUAAACAUAUCUAACUAAUAUGGAACUUACCGGCAAAUUUUUCUUGACAUCCCAUAGUCGCAGAGUACUAUCUGUUGAAGCAGAAGCAAGCUCAUUGCUCGACAAGAAUUUGACAUACGAAACUGUCUUUUUAUGGCCACUGAACACGUAGAGUGGGUGGCAAGUGUUUCUUAAGUCGUAAUAAUGUAUAUGGUGAUCGGCAGAACCAACCUGCGUAGGAACAUGGCACGUAUUAGAUGUGUGCUUUAGACAAAAUAUACACAAUAUUAACUUUGUAAAUUUGAGUGGAAGUUAAUCACAAAUGGCAUUCAUUAUUCAAAGAUGCAGGCUCCUCAAGUUUUUUUUUUCUCUUUUUGUACUCUUGAAGUAAUCUUUUGCCCGCUUUUCCUUAUUUGUUAGGAAAUGUAUGUGUGGUGGAGAUAGUAAAAUCUACUUGGAUAUAGAACAUGCAUGUUAUCAUUGACUAGUGAAAUUCAAUUUUCGAAUGAACUUCAGUGGUUGCAAGAGUCUGAUGAACUCCACUACUCGUAUUGUUAAUAAUAAUUUGAAGGGGCUAUUAAAUAAGCUUGCGUACCAGCAUGAAACCUUUGGAGAUUUAAGUGAAUACCACUUCUAUGUGUUAAGUGAAAAAAUAGUGACCAACGAAAAAUAUAUCCGCGGUUCCAGCAGAUCACAUUUUUUACCGAAUUCAACAACAAAGAAAAUAAAUAGGUUUAUUAAAAUCUAUUCAUUUGCCACUGGAACUCCAUUAUCAUUACCAAGAAAUUAAGGAGGGUCAGGAAUUGAAAUAGGGGAACAAGAAAGAAUAUUACCGCGACAAAUUUACUAGAAUCGGGAUUGUACUUUACACAGCAUAUAUUUGCCUUCAUAUCGAUGUUGAGGACGCUAGCUUCUUGGUUCGUACACCACACUUUAACCUGAAAUUUAUAUCACUUGUUAUCAAGAAGGGAUCUUAAUGGAAACUGGAUCUGCAGAGAGUGUAAACAAGAAAGGUCUUGAUGGAUGAAAGAGAAUUAAUUAAGUUUUCUUAGAUGCAGAAAACAAGAUUAAGUACCAGCAUUCUUUUGUAAUUAUGGAGCCCUAGUUUAACUACUUCUUAGGGAUAAACUAGUACUAGAAAUUAUUGAACAUAUACUGUUAUUCGAAUUUCAAUAUUUGCCUUGAAAUCUCUGGAAUGAUCCAAAGAGCUCAAACAACAGCCAUGAUUUGGGGAUUGAUGGCAUGAAAAACAGUAGAGGGACAUCAAAUUUUGUUAAUAUUGAUUAGAUGAGAUAAAUGAAUAGGACUGAACUCUUUAACUAUCUCAAACUACUACUAAUAAAAUCGCUUGCCUUCUACGUUUCCCAGUAUCAUGUAUACAAGGUUGCAAUAAUUAGAUAACUAGUUAGGACUUCUGUUUGAGCAUAAAAAGCAUUUUUACAUUACCUUGCAGUCGUCACUGCCAGACACAAGCAUAGACGGUUCUGUUCGGGAAAAAUCAACGCUCCAUGCACGUUUUUCAUGCUCCUCGUAUUCCAUGACACUCUGGAUAAGCCCAAAAAAUAUUAGCAUUUGUUAACGAACUAAAAACUUUUCUCAAACUGCAGAUAUUUGAUAACCAAUUUCAGUCUUGAGAAUGGAUAGUUUAUAGUGUUUAUAAGCCAAAAUAAUAGUUGAUGAGUUGAUGUGUGUGCCACAUCUACCUGCCGUGUGGAUACAUCCCAAAUAGUUACAAUUCCAUCGUAAUCACUACUAGCUAUAUGGUUUUUGGUGAACUUGUUCCAGCUCAGGCAGCUAAGUUUAGAUCGUGUUGCCAUCUCCACAACAGGGCAGUGCACAUCUGUAGGUUCAUUAACAACCUGUAAGACAAGCAUAAAGUCAGAUUAGCAUCCGGAAGGAAUCUUUUAAACAUGGCCUGACAAAUAAAUUUCAGGUUUACAACUGAAAUGAUGCUCCGUGAGCCGAAGUUAAUCUUGCAUACAUUAGCUCAUUGAUGCUCUAAUAUGUUUAUUGCAGAUACCAUAGGAAUUUGAAGUAAAACAACAGCAUGCAGUCCAGAUUCAAUGAUCACAGACCAUUCUAAUCUGGCACAGUAAUUAUUUUUAGUGAAAAUCAUUGAGAAGACAACUUUAUGACACACUUUCCCUCUUUGUCGGUCAAUGUAAAACCUUGCAUAUUUGACUAAUUCAUAUGGAUCAUACUAGAAUCCUUCUUUUUAAUUUGCACCAUUGAUCCUUAGGAUGUUAUACCCUUCAACAUUAAUAUCUCCACCGAUAAAAGAUAUCAAUACGUGUUGGACAAAUGUAAUACCAUAACAGAAAGGGGAGGUGUAUAGGGGAAAAGAAGCCUACCGAAGAGAAAUCAAAAACUUUUAUGCGCCGUGAAACUCCAGCAGUGGCAAACAGCUCAUCAUCACGAUCAAAUUCUAUACUGCAACAAGGAGAGUGACUUCACAUAUUUAAGCAGCACCAGAAUAGAAACAAAAUAGAGAGAAGACAGGAAGACAAAUCUGAUUACAGAGGAUUCUAGAAGUUACACAGAAGUAUCAUAAAAUCAAUAAGGGGUAUCCCAUGCUUGUUGAUCUUGGAGGGUCAACAUACCAGAAAAUCUACUGAUUUCUUCAAAAUGAAAUAUUUUAGAACUGAAUUCUACAAGGACAUAUAACAAUGUGUUUAAACUUCAAUCCAUUGAUUUUCUUUUCAUAUUGGGGAGUGUCAAUGAUCUUGAUUAACCUGCAAAAUUGGUAGACAAGGAUCGUCUCUAGAUGAACAAAUACAUCCUAAUUUCUUUGUUAUGUGAAAUUAUCAUCCGGAUCGACACUUUUCUAAAGAACUGUAUGCUACAGUAGUAAACUUAUGACAGAGGUGUAUGCUACAGUAGUAAACUUAUGACAGAGGUACUGGAGAGGAUCCUUGUUUACUCCACUCCAACUCAAGAGUAAUCAUCUUUUAAUCCCAAUUUCUUUUUGUUGGGUAAGGUAAUUGUGAUUUGCCAACUUGGACUUUAUUUCAGUUGAGUUUGUAUAAAACCCAUUAUCUAUCAGCAGGCUUUACAUACUAAGAGUCUGAGACACCUGGAUGAAAUAAGUAGGAACUAAUUGUCCAGACUUCCAACUUACCUCGAAACAAUAUUGGCCGAGUUAAAGAGAUCCCCAUGUUUAAGUUCAGCAAUUACUCGUAACCGACUGUUCCAAAUAAGGCCAUAAACCAUAAUUAGAAGACAUGAGUAAACAUGUGUAAAUGGUAAAAAAAUCUUAGUGGAACUGAAAUGUAGGGCCUACCUGUACCGGGUGAACGUACUUAGAACCGACUGGAAAUCUUCUAGGGCCAAACUAUAACCUUCUCUAGUAAUGUUAGUUUUAUCUUUUGUUUCGUGGGUCUCUAGAUGGUUCACCAACUGGCGUCUCUUUUGCAAGUAAAAUUCUUGAAGUUCAUUAAACUGCAAGAUGACAAUGAUUCCUCAACGAGAGAAUUUGAAAAGCCAGGUAGCAGAUAAUUUAAGCAAACAGAGACCCAAUUUCCAGUAAACAUUAUUUUAUGCAUAAAGCCCAUUCUUCCCUGACUUUCUAUUGGUAAAAAAACAAAAAGAAACCAACAAACAGACGAACAUAUAGAAGAUAAUUAUUCACACUGGUUGUGAAAGAUUCAAGCUCAGUUAGAAGGAAAUAAUAAAGAAUAGACAAAUGAAAUUCAAUAACGCGAAGGAAUACAUUCAAAUUCAUAUUUAUGGUGAACAUGGCAGCAGAAAACACUAAGUGGAACAUCAACUUUCCAAUGAGAAUCAGUUAAAACCAACCCUGCAUUACACUUGUGAAUUUAUUUAGUCUCUCCUUGUACAAAAACUCCAUUUUUUAUUCUAGAAUAACUAUUAAACCGGAAAAAAAAAAAAAUCAUGCUUGCUUAGUGUUCUACAGCAAGUCUGUUACAAUUAAGAUACAAACUCAUCUUAAAGUAUCCAGUAGAUAGGGAUGCACUUGCAUCAUAUUAUGUUUAUUAAAAAAACAAAAAUAUAGUUAUACGUCACAAUCUCUAAUCUUAUAAUUUCUAUAGUAUGAAGCAAACAGGACAUGAUAAUAACAAAUUGUCUUUAAUAUAGUUUUACGCCAAAUGGCUGUGUUUUAUUAUUAAAUACUUCUCUCUUAAUUCUGAUAUUCACAAGUAAUUACUAAAAUCAAACCGAUUAUACUUGACUGACUAUAACACAUACGACUAACACUGAUUUCUCAAAUUACUAAACAGUCUACAUUGCUAUAUUCAAGAAUAAGGAGAAGAUGAGACAAGUAAAUUUAUCCAUGUAUAUUAGUUUUAAUGUUCAAAAGAAAAUUUAUAUACCGACUCCAAACAAGCUGCAAUAUACAAAUGAAUUAGUUACAUAUAAAUAGUAAAAGGUGAUCAUAUGGACCAAGAAAUUUUUGUGUAUAUUCUUCUCAAGUGACUUAUUGUGAUUCAGCUAUGUGCUGAAUGCAUGUCCAAUCUCAAGGAAGGAUGGUCCGUGAGAUUAAAAACACCCUUAAUUAAAAUCACAACACAACAAUGAACAAUCAUGAUAAAUUUUGUUGAUGAUAUUUUUAUGGGAUGCAUCUGUGAAUAACUGAAAAGGCAAAAAAAAUACAAUAAAACAUUUUUUGGAGAUCUUCAACACAAUUUUAUCCCCAACAAUUUACUCACAUAGGUCUGAUCUAAUGCAGUAUACGACAAGUCCAGUUUUCACAUAAACUCAGGCGUUCUGCAGUUAUAUGAUAAUUUUGCAGAUAGGGGCUUGUCAAUUAAACAUUCGCUAACCUGUGCAUGAACGCGCUUCUUUCGUGUAACAGCCAUACCAGAUUGGCUUAUCUGUUGCGAAGUCGGUCCACUAAAAGUGGCAUCCUUGAUCUGGGAUCCAAGGGGGUUAAUAUGAACUUUUCCCUCAUUUUUCUUGUACUGCAUGUUCACAGAAGUCAUUCCUCCUUUUGUAGUGCAAGAGUUGCAUGCAGGACCUACAAUUCUUUCCAUUGAAGAAGUCCGAGAUCUCAUUCUGACAGGAUCAUCAGAGGCCUUCAGUUUAACAGAGUACCUUUCUCUUGCACGGUAUAGCUCUAUCCUACGUCGUUCCACUGCAUUUAAGUCCUCCUUGACAUACACGAGAUCAUUUUGCACCUAACAGAGAAGAAUAGUAAGAGGAAUCAUAAUCUCUACAAGGAAUUACCAAAAUAUUUCUCAUUAGAAUUGUAAAGAGUCUCUCUUGUUGAAUUUCAACAAAGUGGACUUCAUGUAAAUGAUAUCCCAUCCCAUCCCGUCCAUAUUUGAAAGAUAUUCCGUUCAAUAUUAUCUGCAACUAAACAUCAUUUUCAUAUCAUUACUCAUUUACCUAAACAAUGAAGCAUAACUUAACUCAAUCGUCAGAAACAUUAACUGAUGACAUCAACCCAAGGCAACAGAAGAACCACUGAGAAAAAUGAGGCGCUUUCCCAAAAUUCAAAGAGGAUUCAACAUUUUUUUUUAUUGGAAAUUAUGAAAUGCAUGGCUCUAAAUUCAGAUUUGAUUUCAUGUUCCUUUGAAAUCAGCUUUCACCCGGCUGGUUUCUUUUAAAAUUCAAACUUAAAAAAGUUACAAUUGAAGUAGAUUUCUUGCCGACUGACUUUAUUUAAAAUCAGCUUCUCUUCACUCAACGUACAAACGUUUGGAAAUUAUUUUUCUUUAGUAGAUAGUUUGGGAAAGUUUCAUGAAUUUUAUAAUAAUGUAUUACGCAAUUAUGCAAAAUACAUAAAAUGUAUUACCAGUAACCAAAAUUCAUCAAAUCUACCAGCUAAAGCAUAGCUAAUUCCUCCAAUACCAUACAGCUUCACUGGGAUUUUGGAGGAGGAACUUUACUCAGCAAGCAUACAAAAUUAUUCAAUUUAAUUAGAAAAGCUAACAAAUUAUAAAUGCCAAAUAAAUAUCUCAUUAUCUUACUCACAUAAACCACUUCUCUUACUUCAAAUUUAUUAUGACAAACCUCAUUGAGUUCAUUAGCUUUUUGCUUCCUUAAGCAGUGUAAGAAAUCCAGCAGAAUUUGCAUGUUUCUCUCUGCUUCUUCUUGUUCCAAUUUUCUCUUUUUCUCUGCCAGCAGAGACAAUAAAGAGUCUAACUCUUUCACUGAUACUUCACAACCCUGUCUAAGGAGAAAAUACAUCAAGCCUCUGCAGAAAGAGCAGAUAUGGGAAGUAGCUUAGGAUUGAGGGAUUGCGUGCUUCACUGAAUUAUUAGGAAUAAACUAUUCAGGUUGAGUAAAUAGAAAUUAGGUUAACGAAAAAUUUCCUGGUUGGCACCAUAAUCAAAACGACAAUGGGUUUUGUUACAGUAAUAUAGUCACAAUAACUCGUGAUUACGAAAACAUGUUAAGCACAGAUGCAGCAAAUGCCAUAUCGAGGGGUGACAAGAUAGUUAUCCAUUAUUGUGAUUUGUGCAAAACCGAAAAGUUGUUUUACUACCAUUACAAUUUAUACUCAUCAUAUUGAGCCCGCUAUUUAAUGUGAUGCAUGCCCAUUAUACCAAUAAGUGCAGGAUACUUAAUAUUAUUCAGGUGGAGGCGGUCUAAUGAGUUACAUGUGUGAUGUUAGGUGUGGAAACAGAACCUAGAAAAGGAGUCUGAAAAUAUCUUAGGCUUGCAAUUAACAAAAAUGAAAAGAUUGAGAAGUGGUGAUGGAAAAUAUCACAAUCUAUGUAGAAUCCUAAAAAAAAAAAAUAACUGCAAGACUAAGAAACCAACAAUGCUUUUGACCUGUUGAAUAGCUUAUAUACUUUGUAUCUUGUGGAAGAGAAAAAUACUCAAGUUUGUUACAGAAAGGAGAAAAGGUUGAAGAAAUCUUUUAUGCUCUCUAUAUUGGAUUAAGGAAUAUUUUGCUGAGAGAUAUUGGUCUUUUGCUCACUUCUUAGACGAUAUAUACAAAUAUACAUAAAUAGAUAUAUUUGUCGGCUCUGAUUGGAAAGCACCUCAUUUUGGGUGGAUAUAAUUUACCUUUCAAAAAUAACAUUUUGAUAAAUCGGAAAAGGAAGAAAGAGAAGCGAAAAGCAACAAAUGAAAAUACAACAAAAUAAAGUCAACAGAACUGAAUGUUCUUAUCAGUAUCUAAUAAAACAUACUUCUUAAAUUUUUACCAGCUAACUUGGAAGACCUAAUGCUUCUAGUCAAGUUCCACUUUUUUUCAAAAAUUGUUCAUAUGGAAAACAUAUAUAUACUGUUGAUACAACAAAUAUAAAUUACUUGGAUAUAAGAAACAAUGCCAAAAGGUAUCCCUUUCAAGGUGUUUAUAAGUGGCAUACAAAAGAACAUAUUCUAAAGUCCUUCAUUUAUUGUGUAUAUAUGUCUAACACCCAACACCCACCACCCACGUAUGAAACACUUCAGGAAAGAGAAAAACUAGCUGAAGAACCAUAACUCUUCUGGAUGAGAAGGCACCUAGAGGCUAAAACUCUUGAAGUCUUACCAAAAGAAUGGACAUUUGUGCAUAAUAUCACAAUGAACUGAGCACUCGAUUGCAGUUUCUUUUAGUAAACUAGAUGAAUUAAGGAUAUAAUAGCAAUCAAGCAUAGAUGGCAAAGAAAAUUUCUUAAACAAUAGUAUUCAGGAGUUAAUUUUCUAUAAACAUUAUAUGGUGCCCGAUAAGAGCAAGAAAAGUAAGACCAAUAGGCAGGGUGGGUGAGGAACCAAAGAGAAAUUAUAUCUACCUCAGAUGCAGGAAGUUCAUCUAUAACCAAUGACCAAGUAAAAGUAGCUAAAGUAGAGUAAAAACAACCACGGAAACUAAGGAGAAUGAAGAAACAUACUAAAAAAGAAACUAAAUCCCAUUUAUAUCUUAACUAAAUAAUAUUCAAUGAAUUCUUAAAUAAGAAUCACCUGUUCCAAUGACUGACGGAAUUGUUCUACAGGAGAUGCGGCUUUUGAUAGUUGACGAGCAGAUGUCUUCUUCAGUAGCUACAAAUUUGGUACAGAGAAACCUUAUCACAAUAAGCUGCAUUGUGAAGCAAAAUAAUUUCAAGACGCAAACUAGGUAAGGAACCAUGCAAUGAAAGCACGCAAAUAGUUUCGAACCGCCGGUAUAUCAUCACACACUCAAUGAAUGAAAUCAUCUCUCAGAGGUUUAAAAAUAAAAUAAGUAACUUGCGAAUACAAACAGCAAAAAUUAACAGAAUAAAAUAAACGCAGCAGAUUUUCAUUUGUGCAAUUAAAAGUAAAAACAACCUAAUUUGAAUCAUGCUGCAUAAAACAAAAAAUGGCUAAAUAGGAACAAAAUCAACCUUAUCGAGGAGGAAAUUGGGGAAGAGCUGAGAAGGGGUAAGAAAGUGAGAGCAACAAGGGCAAUCGCUCUUGUUCUGGAGAUGAGUGACGAUGCACAUGUAGCAAAAGCUAUGGCCGCACGCUGUUAAGAAAGCAUCCUUUAUCAUCUGCAUACAUAUAGGGCACAUCAGUUCCUUCUCCUCCGCCUCCGCCUCCGCCUCCUCCAAAGCUUCAUCUCCUUGCAGCUCCGCCGCCGGCACCACCACUCCGAUCGAGCUGUCACCCAUCCCUAGGCGAUUGUUGUGAAGUGGAUCGAGAAAUAGGGAAAGAGAAUCGAAUCGCGUCAAUUGUUGUGCCUCUGGGGUUGGUGGGCCUCAAUCUGACAUUUUUCACUUUUCUGCUCAUCCACUGUUCACCAGAAAUUCCUCAUUUUCACUUUAUUAAUUCUCCACUUAAAUAUUUUUUAAAUGAUUAUUAAAGUUAUUUUUCGUCCUUUUUUUUUAUUUUUAUUUUCUUCCCCCCUAGAAUGCUUAUAUUUACAAAUUACUUUAAUCUAAAAAACAAUUAUGAAAUUUGAUUCUUUUUUAAGUAUAAGAACUUCAAUUUUUAAUCGCAUAAAACAGUUUUUACUUUUGUCUAAUAAAUAUCAAGUCGCGGCUAUUUGCAAUAGUAGGUUCAUUCAGUGCAAGAUCAAAUUAACUUUUAAUAUACAAAUAUUAUAAUAGCAUUACUUGUUAAAAAAUACAAUAAAAAUUGUUGUAUUACCAUAUACUAAAAAUAAAAACCAUAAAAAUUUAACCACAUACCAAAAUUAUCAUAUUUUCCAUCUUUCAAAAUCCACAAAAAAAAAAAUUCAUUCCUCUUACAAACUUCAGUAUUCAAAUUUCUCAAAACUCAACAAACCUUUCAAAGGCAAAUGUGGACUCAAAAACAUCAAAAUGGAACAUUCUACGGUGGAAGAAUUCAAGGAGGUAUGAAUUUAUAUGUUUUAUUAGUUAAGUUAUCGUUUUUCAAAAACUUUUUGCGCAGACACGAUUCGACAUUUACAUAUUGAAUUUUGUCCCCAAAACUCACAUUCAGAUGUCGAGUGAAACGUACUUAUUUUGACAUCUUAGCAUCCAUCGGAAUGCACAAAAUUCGACGCUUAGAUGUCAUGCCCAGUGUACAGAAAAUCAACAUUUGGUUGAUGUCAAAAAAUAUUGGCAUUAAACGACCUGCAAAUGUCGAGCAAAUAUACCCAAAAUCGACAUUUGCACGUCGAGUUCCGUAGUAGAUCGACAAUGUUCUAAAAAUCAAAUCUAACUCAAAAUGAUCAACUAUUAAGCAUAAUCUACAACCACAUACUUGUUGAAAGUUCUAAAUGAUAUAUUUUAACAAAAAAGUUUGACUUUUAAACGCUCAUUCAACUUUUUGCCCUUUUAAAGGGGUUUGGUCUUCGGUGUUAGAUUGCAUGCGUAUGUGUUGGAGCACUCUUCAUCUUACUGUGAAGGAUUGGGUAGCGGUGGCGGUGGCGGUGGCGACGGCGAACUCAGGCGGCAAAGAUGGAGGGUUUUGGUGUUGCAUGUUAUGCUCUGAUUUGUUUUCUUAUUUCGUUUUUUUUUUUCUUUUAUUUUUUUUGGAAACUUAAACUUUGUACUUUGGUAUUUCGAAAAAACAAGAGGAAAAUAGGUGAUGGUUCUAUUAGUCAUUUCAUUAUAUUUUUUAGCGUCUUUCUUUUUAUUGGUCUUACACUUAGUUAAACGAGUAUUUUCAGAAGCGGCAUCCUAAAUAUUAUUACUAUUGAAAUAAAAAUAUAGGGGGGAGAUAGGGCCCUUAAACAUUCAUUUAAUUGGCCCAACAAUAUUUUAUCAUUGUGAUACUCAAUAAUUUUUCUACGGGUGAAUUGUGUUUUGCACCCCAAAUUUGAUAAUGAUUGGCAGUUUGCAUCUUGAAAAUAUAGAAUUAGCAAAAUCCACCCUCAAAUUAUAUCUCUCGGCAGAUUGCAUCCUAUAUUUUUUAGAUUUUAACCAAAAAAAUCAAUUGAACAAGAGGAUACUAACUUUUUAUUCUUGAACAUCUUUUUUAUUUUUGAUUUUGUACUUUUAAAUUAUUAUUUUGCUUGCAUGUUAAACAAAUACAAAAAAGCAACUUAUGGUUUUAUUUUGUUAGUCGAGUUGAACUAAAAAUUAUAUGUAAAAUACAUAAUAUAAUUUUUUCCUUUUAAUUUAAAAGAUAAUAAAAUAAUCCCAUUAAAAAAAUAAAUUAUUGUGUAUUUAGAUUAUGUAUAAUGUAUUUAAUUACUUUAUUCUAUGUUGUUUUUAAAUAGUUUAAUUAAUGAUUGUUUAGUUUAUAUUAUUUUAAAUAUCUUUACUACAUUUUUUCAAAACAAACUGAAACUUAAAAAAAACUAAAAACCCUAAUUAUAUUUUUCAAUCAUCUAAUUUCUACCAAUUACUCAGUUCCUUACAAAAAUUCAAAUCAAAUUAAAGUCAGAUUAUAUUUUGGGCAAAUUAUGAGAAACCUCCUGAGAUAAGAUCUAAUUAUGAAAAAUCCUUCAUUUAUGUAAUUACUAAUUACGAAAAUUUCUCCGACGUAUGUUGUCGUUUUACACAGCUCUCCUACGGUGUUACUUUUGACAAAAUCUUUUUAAUUCCGUUGAAUAUUUCUUUGAAAAUGUCAUGUUUGACCUUGAUGGUUAAUUAUAAGCAUACUAAUUACUUAGGGGCUAAAUUGUAAUAUAUUUACAAAAAAAGUAAUUUUUUACAAUUUUAAAAAUAUAAUAUAUUUCUUCAUAAUAUAAUUAUUAAAAGGAAGAUGUAUAUAAAAAGAACUAAACAUAUCUUCUAACAUUAAUUUUUUUAUUUGUUUUGUAUUUCUUUUUAUAUUUUAUAAUUUUUAUCCAAUAAAAUUGAUAUUACAUAUUUUGGAAAAAUAUUCUCGUAUUUCAAUGCCAAAUCUCGUUGAAUCAUCAUUUGUCAGGACCGAAGAGUGUAAGUUCCUUAGCUUGGACAUGACAUUUAGCACAUGUUGCUAUUCCUGGAUCUAGAGGGGAGUACGUUCGGUGGAAUAAUUUCUUAGAUAUUUAGAGUGAUUAAGCACAUGUUGCUAUUCCUGGAUUUAGCACAUAUAAGUCAUCGUUUUUACUUCUUUCUUUCGAGAGAUAUUAGAGUGAUUGUUAAGAAUUAAGAAUUUAAUUAACUGGUCCUCUCGAGAUGGUUUUCUAGUUUCAUUUAUUUAAGUCGAGGUUCUUUUUAGAGCUUUUGAUUCGGAUUUGACGUCCUCUCUGUUGGUUUAAAAAAAAUUAAGGGUAAAUAGCACUUAACCCCUUCGUAGUUUGGACAUUUUGCACAUGACCCACUUAUGGUAUGAAAUUAGGCACAUAACCCCUUUUUAGUUUGGACAUUUUGCUCAUGACCCCCUUAUGAUAUGAAAUUAGGCACGUAACCCCCUUGUGGUUUUGACAUUUUGCACAUGACCCCCUUAUGGUAUGAAAUUAGGCGCAUUACUCCCUUGAAUGUAAAACUGGAAAAGACUAAAUUAACCCUAACCCUAAAGAGUACAGACUUUGUUCCUUAAAAAGUUAAAAUUCAAUAACAACUAUAAUUUAAUAUACUAUAUAGAAAAACCGAUUCUUCCAAUGUCUCAUUUCUAGGUCCAAUUUAGAAUAAUAAUCAUAAUCAUAAUAAUAUUAAAGUUUUGAAAUAUGUAGAAUUAUUUUAUCGAAUUAUUAUUGAACAAAUAAAUUGAUAGUUCAUAAUUUUAUAUCGAGGUUAAUUCUUUUAUAUUUGAUUUGAAGCAUAUGAGAUUUUUAAAUUGGUUUCUAAAAUUUAAUAAAUUUUCAAUCGCACAAUAACUAGUAUUAUAUACCUUUUGUGUUUUAAAAUUAAAAAAAACAAUAAUAUAUUAUAUUUCUCAUUUUACAAAAAAGUACAUUAAGAUUUUCAUUUUAUAGAAUAAUUAUUUUCAAAUUAAAAGGAAAGAAAUUUUGACUUGAUAGAGUAACCAACAAACAGUUGGUAUAGUUGUAAUUUAGCUAAACUUUAGAGGUAGUUUAGUCUUUUCCAAUUUUCUAUUUAAGGGGUUAUCUAAUUUCAUACCAUAAGGCGGUCAUGUGCAAAAUGUCAAAACCACAAGAGGGUUGUGUGUCUAAGUUCAUACCAUAAGGGAGUUAUGUGCAAAAUGUCCAAACCACAAGGACGUUAUGUGCCGAAUUUCGUACCAGAAGGGAAUUAUAUGCAAAAUGUCCAAACCACAAAAGGGUUUAGGUGGUGUUUGCAAAUGAUUAUUUAAAAGCAGAAGUUAGUGAUUGUGAGUUAAGUCAGUUUUAAGUGCUUAUUUUUAAAAGUUGGGGGUGUUUGCAAAUAUUCCGGAAAAUGAACUUAAAUUGAAAAAACAGGGUUAGGGGUGCUUAAAAAAAUAGAUUAAAGCAGAUUAUUUUAAGAGAAGCAAAAGCAAAAAUUGAUUUUGCAAACAUCUGAAAACAUAUUAUAAACAAAAAAAAAACUCAUAAUCACUUUUAAAAAGCUUUUGCAAACACCACCUAAAUGCUAUUUACCCAAAAAUUAAAUUACACAUUAUCUGCCAUUCCCUAAGAUAUAAUAAUCAACAAAAAAUAAUCAUUGAAGGGUUUAUUUUAUCAAGAUUUGUUUUCCAGCCGUUUACUCAUCUUAUAAAGAUAUAGAAAAGAACAUUGGUUCUCAAAAGCUCAAUCAAAUGCUUUUAGGAUAAAUUUUAAAAAACCAAGACUUGAAAGGCUCAAACGAAUCGAAGAAUGGUCAAAUCAUCUUCCUAAUACUAAGUUAUUCUACAGUUCGCUUCAAAGGGUACUAAAUUAAAUUAUAUAGUUGAAGAUAGUGUAAUCUAGCAUAAAAGCCUCUAUAUUCUAUUAUAGUACCCACGACUCAACCAACUCACAACUUAUUAGUUUCUAUGGCAACUUACUUUGGAUAUUAUAGUCAUCCAUAGUCGACUAUAGUCAUUUUGGAAACCUUAGAUCCGCUCAUAUGAACCCUAGCCCCGACCAUUCGAUUCAUAGCGUCACCGAACAAUUGAAGCACUCCAAAAUCGUCUCCAAUGGCCCGUAACAUGUUAGAUCUAUUACAACUGAAGAGAUUAGGCCCGUGAUUAAAGAAGAAGCAAACCUGAGGUUUGAUCGAUUCGAACCCGACCCUUCUUGUACCAACUUAUCAUGACCCCACAAUCAGUUGAACUAUACUCACGUAGGCGUAACCGGACCCUUCUUGUACCAACUUACCACCCCGCAAACCAGUUUAGCUAUACUCAUGGAGGCGUAACCCGACCCUUCUUCAUUGUAGGAAAAGUUGCAAUAUAAUCUAAACCAACCAUCGGUGUUAUUUGUAUAUAUCUUUCAUAAAUUUCAAUUGAGACAAUCUUCCUAGUAUUUUAUUAUUAAUCAAUAGAACUUUUUACUAUUUUUUCAUGUAUGUUAGUCUAAUUUUUUUUUAAAUACAAAUAUAUCAUAACAAAUUUCUUUUUUUAUGUACACAAUUAAGAUUUGCUUCUCAUUAAUAAUUCACAAAUAAGUGAACUUCAUUUAAAAGACAAUAUUAUUACUUUUUCAUCAAUUUAUUUGCAAAUUUCACAUUCAAAAUUCACAUACGCAAUAUUCUGAUCAAAGAAACAAUUCAAUAAUCAUUAUUAUUAUUAUAUAACAUCACAAAUUAUGGGCAGAAUCUCAAACUUUGUCACUAUAUGUACGUCGAGGGUAAUACCGUCUUUUCCCCCACCCAACUACUCGUACUUUUUGUUAAAUAAAUAAUAUAAAUAUAAUACAUCGAAUAUAAUAAAUUAUUUCGAGAAAUAUUAACUUAAAUAUAAUAAUCGUACACGGGUGCAGGAAAAUCUUUUGCAAGGAAUUCGCAGUUAAAAAUUCCAGACUUCUUCGAAGAAGAUCUGAAGGCUGAAUUUUAGAGAGAGAAAUCAACCUUUUUUUUUUUUAUUUUUUUUUAUUUUAACAACAAAUAAGAAUGAUGAUAGAAUAGAAUUGAAUCCGAGUAAUGAUGUUUGUUGCUCCUGAUUUUCUUUUUUAAUUUAAAAUAUUAUAUAUAUAUUUCCAUUAAAAAGUGGCGUGAUUUCUGAAAAAAAAAAAAAAAGAAAUUCGUCAAAUGAUCAUAAUCACGCGCAUGUGUGUUGAGUUGGUGUAGUAUUGAAGUCGAAAUCUGGAGUAUAAUUAUCGUAUUAAGUACAGUGUGUGCGUGUUUAUAAAGUAUUCGGAUAAUCGAUGCCGGUGAAUCGUAAAUUCCAGAGGAAUGCUUCAGCGAUCGAUUCAGUUGAAGGUAUGUAUCCAAUUUUUCCUUUUUCCUUUUCAAAGAUCAAACCUUUUUUUUUUUUUUUUUUUUUUUAAUUUGGGUGCCUGAUUAAUUUUUUAUUCGAUUUUGUUUAUAAUCGUUGAUGAUCGAUGUGUUUUCCGUUAGCGGAGAUAACGGCGAUUGAUUGAUUCAUGUAUUCUAUUUUCCAAAAUAUUAAUGGAUCGAUUUUUUGGUUUUUUGAUUUUUUGAUUUUUUGUUUAAAUUGCAGAGAUGAUGAGAAGGGUGAAGGUAGAAGGAAAUGAUGAAAAUGGUGAAGUGGGGGAUGAACCGGUUGUGUACCCGGAUCGACCCGGUGAACCAGAUUGCAUAUAUUAUUUGAGAACAGGGGCUUGUGGUUAUGGAAGCAAUUGCCGUUUCAAUCACCCCUUCAAUAAUGCAGGAGGACAAGUGUGUAGUUAUUAUGAACAAUUUCAUCUAUUUUACACUCUUACCUGUUCGUCCUUUGUUCGUCUAUUUUUAAACGAUUUCUUUGUCGAUGAUGGCUAGGUGUACGGUGUUAAAAACACCACCAUUGAACUACCGGAAAGAGCUGGACAACCAGAUUGUGGGGUAAUCGCUUCAUUUUUUUCUCUCUUUCUAAUGGAUUGUGGUGCGAUGAGUUCAUGUGUUGCAUUCGUAUUUAUAUUUUUAUUCUGGUAAAAUCCUCUUUUGAUUUUCAUUUCUUUCAUGCGUAUUGCAUACUGAAACCUAAUCGUUUUGUUUGGGUAAACAUCUUUUCAAGAAGUAAUAUAUUGUUAUUGUUACCUUAAAAAAUGCCUAUACACGGUAAUCUUGACUAAACACAGUACCAGUUUGGUUAUCACUAUUCUAUGAUGUUCAUUUUAGAUUGAUUUGAAAAAAAAAAUCCCCUUUUCACUCGCAAUAUAAUUCUUUUUACUAAGCAAACGAGUCAUUGGUUCUUAGAUUCAAAAAGCAGCAACAAUGCUGCUUCUUGCUCGUUUUCGGAGUAAUUUGAAUAGGGAGUUCAUCCUCAUUUACUUUUCCUUUACGGUAAUGUAGCAUGUUACGUUUUGCAAGUAAUUGACUAUUGACUGUUGAGUUAUGUGCUUAUUAUUUUUUAUUAAUGCUAGUUAAAUUAUCUCGGCAUUUUGGUUGAUAUUUGCAUUUUUCUUGUCCUUGUCGUAUAACUGGUGCUGUAACUUCCUUCUGAUGCGACCGACUUUUUGUUUCAGUGACCUUAAGUUCUUUCUUUUACGUAUUCACUGAACUUGUCAACUUUGAAGACAUAUGUUUAUGAAAUAGUAACUUGUUUUGGGAUUGUCAAUAAUUGAAUUUCUUACUAAAUAGGCAAAGUUGUGUCUACUUAGUACUUACUCGAACAUGACGAGAGCUUACUCUUUUCUAAACCCUUGAUAUCCGUAGAUGCCAAUAACUUCCGUAAACGAUCAAUACUGUGGCGUUUAUUAUAUUAGCUAAACUGUUUGAGGUAUCAUAGAAUCAGCCAUUUGGUCUGCAUUGCAGAAGCUAAUAAGCUUAUGCUUAUUACUAUUAAUUCUAACAUAGUUGUAUGUUCAAACUGUUGCUAUUGCAUUACAAAGCGAUAGCUAAUACAUUUUAUUUAAUGGUCUAUAAACGCGUUGAGUAUAUCCACUGGUUUUGUUUGGUACUCUCGGGUCAGGAUUCUUACUGGAUCUCUAAAGUAGGGGUCGAUUCAAUUUUAUUUUUAGGGUAAAACUUGUUUUAAUCGGUGGGCCGUUAUCUUGCAGUAUUAUCUGAAGACAGGCACUUGCAAAUAUGGAUCUACAUGUAAAUAUCAUCACCCCAAGGAAAGGCAGGCUGAUGUUUUGACGAAUAUGUUGGGCCUACCAAUGCGUCAGGUCUUUAUUUACAUCUAUUGCCAUGUUCGAGUAUUCUCUUUGUAGUGAAGUUAUGGGCUUAAUUAUUAGUAUUUAUUUAUUUAUUUAUUCAGGAUUCAAGGGCAUGUCCGUAUUAUAUGAGGACUGGAAUAUGUAAAUAUGGAUAUGCGUGCAAGUUUCAUCACCCUCAACCCGCGUUAGCUCCAAAUGUCUUACCUGCUGUUGUUGGAACUGUCUAUGGUGCAUCUGCAUCGUCAGCUGUGCCUUCGUCUGCUGUGCCUCAACUUUCAGCAAAGGCGACUUAUUUCCCUACUUCUCUUCAACUUCCGCAAAGCUACAUGCCCUUAUUUAUAUCUCAGUCGCAAGGAUGGAAUGCAUACGCGGUAUUAAUAUUCUGCUCUUUUUUGCUUCAAAUAUUUUUCGGGUUCCAUAUUUUUCUUCGUCUUUUAGUAUGUUUUAUUCUAGAAAUGAAUUCCGAUAAACGCAGGUUUGUUGCAAUUUUUAUAAUUAUAAUUAUUUGUUUCUUACGGAAGUAACAAAUACUGUCUAUUGCUGUGAAUAGGGAGGCAUGAAUCAUUUAUCUAACGGAAUGAUGUCAGCGUCGUAUCUGCCUGAAAGACCGGAUCAACCAGAAUGCCGUUAUUUUAUGAACCAUGGGAGUUGUAAAUAUGGACCCGACUGCAAAUAUCACCACCCGAGAGAGAAAUUAGCAUCCAUUUCUUUUGGCCCUCUUGGCCUUCCUUUAAGACCUGUAAGUUGCUUCGUAUCUUUAUCUUCACCAUUACCAUCACUUUGUAAUUAACUACAAAAAACUGCCAUCACUUUGUUGUCGUAAAACAAUUUUCUUUGUCGUUGUGCUUAAUUCAUCUUCUUUACAUUCUUUGUGUGACGACUAGUUCAUCCUCAAAAUCCACAGUAACAUGUUCGAAUGCUCUGAAGAUAGCUGAUUUAUGACGAGUCAACUUGUAUAUGAAAUGUUUCUAUUCGUUCGGUUUUGGGUUCAACUUGUAGAUAUCAACUAGACUUAGUGAAAGCACUUCACAUUUAGUCUUGAUUUUGCUCGUCUUAAUCUUGGUUCAGUCCGCAUUGCAUUUUGAACUUGUGGCUUGUUUCCUUUUCUGUUCUUUAUCAACCCCACAUGGUUUUGAAAUAAUAAUUACUCAAUAACUACGAUUCGAUACUUGCGUGCUUGAAAUGCAGGGACAAGCUAUAUGUUCACACUACAAUCUUUACGGGAUUUGCAAAUACGGGCCCACAUGUAGAUUCGAUCACCCGAUGGAUGGAGGAUACCAUCCGUAUGCAUAUAGUAUGAGUCUCCCUCCUUUGGCGAAUGCUUAUAUCCCUAAUAUUAAUAAUACUCCCAAUAUUCAGAGAAUUUUGCCAAUAAACGAGACUACAUCUUCGAAUUUGAGUGAGUGGAUUAACAAUGGAGCAGCUACUGCAAGUAACAACAAGAAUCGUACAAAAAGCAUUGAAGGAGAUCCUUCUGAUUCUCUUCCUUAUUCUUCUAAAGCAUCUUCCGAGGUAAUUCACAACGAAUCCGAUUGACAAACAGAGUGAAUCGAGGCAUUGCUUUAUUUUUGCCUUUUCUUUUUUUUUUUUUUUUUUUUUUUCUUUUUCCUCCCUUACAUACACAUCAUGUCUUUUGAGGUGAAUGUACUGUCAAAUCGAAUUGAAGUUAAUUUAUUUUAUCGGGAAGGAUUUUUUUUUUUUUUUUUUUCGUUUGUUCGCUUGGUUUCGGGGAAUGAGGUGAGAAUGAGAAGGAUUGAGAGGAAAUGCUGUUUUGUAUGUGUGUUUUUAUUUUACAAAGAAUUGUUACUGAAUAUUCUGAUUUUGUUUUCCAGUUCAGUAUAACAAUUAAGUUAAACCCCUAUUUUGGUGCAAGGAAUGUAGUUAGUGAUUUCUUCCAUUUCUUGUGCCAAAAUACUGCAAUGAUAAACAAGAAUUGAAGGGCAAUAAAGUAAUAUUGUUACUCACACUUUCUAAGUAAAAAAAAAGAGCGUAUAUAUCGGAUUAGUUUAAAUUAUAUGAUAUUAGAUUAAUUUUUUUACUGACUAAUUAAUUAAGAUUUUCCGUUUUAAUAGAAUUUAAAAAAUAAUAAUUUGUCACUGCGCACACACACACAUAUACAAACCGAGUAAAUUACAGGAAAAUAUAAUAGGAUACCUAUGAAAAUUGACAUUGAAUCUCUGAAAAGACGAUAAAGUUCACAAUUCUUUUUUUUUUAAUGAGUAAAAUGCUUGCAUUAAGAAAUAGAAAAUUAAAGAGUCUACGAUCGGAAAACCUCCAUCACAAAAACAAAUCAAAGGAAUAGAAUCAUGGAGACAAAUCCAUUCCAAUUAUAAGAAAAUGCCCAUUUAUCGAGAUUGUGGGCUGAAAAGUUCGCAUUACGAGAUACGCUCUUGAAUUACGAGACUUGUAUAUAUUUGAAUUUUGUAGAUCCUACACCUAAAUAAUACACCACACAUAGUUGACAAUACAUGCACGCAUCCAAAUAGGCUCUAACCUCUCACCAAACACCGUUACGGAAGAGACUUCUGGUACCACUAGGCUAAAAUUUAUAGAUUCGAGUAAACCAUAUUUUUGAAAGAAUUGUGAGAAAUCGGCCAAUAACAUGAGAAUUAUUAGAAUUAUGUCUAUUUGGUCUAUCAAUUAUUUUUCAAUAAUUGAACUUAUAAUUUUUGUUUAAGUAUCGUCUGAAAUUAUACCCAACGUGACAUAUCUGAGCGUGAAAUAUUAUGGAUAUUAUUAUUCCUAAAUGCAAUAAAAUUUGGCGAAUUCUAAUAUGAAAUAUUCUGAUUUCGGAACACGAAUUGUCAUUUUGAAAUUUUCCAAUUUGUUUUGAACGAAACUGAAUUUUAUUUUCUCUAACUAAUUCCAACCCAAUUCGUCCAAUUUUGCCCCCCUGAAACCCGAACAAACAGUUUUGCCUUUGCAAGAAAUACCUGCAAGAUAUACCAACCAAAUUUUGGAUAAAUAUGUUAAUUUGGGGAGACCGUGUUCAAGAAGGUUUUGUAGAAUCUACACCUAGUGAAAUACGCCAUGUAGUUUUAAACCGUAGAUCUACACAUAAUAACACACAUACCCAUGUGUAUGUGUGCUUAGUUAGUGGGUACUUAUUUAUGAAAAUGAAAAGGAAUUGGACAAAUGUCGAAAAUUUCCUUUAAUUUCAAAUAAAAAAAUAAAAUAAAAAGAAUUCAGAUAGUCUGUCAUCAUACUCUCAUUUACCUAUAAGUAAAUAAAUAUGGUAUCUACUCGUUUUCAGCUUUACGUGCAAGGGACAGAAGCGUCUUUUGGCGAAGAAUCGGAAAUCUUAGAAGCAGCACUUUCUUGGAGUUUAGGUCUUCUAAGUGGCCUUUUUAAGAACUUUAGCACUUUGUGAAAUCUUUGUUGCUUAAUUGUCCCCAGUAAUUUCAUCUGUUCUUCCCGAAGCUUUCUGUUCGCAUACCAUGCUCCACCGCGCCAACCCAAACCAUAUCUGCGAAUUUAAUAACAAAUCAAGAGAAUUUCCUAAUAUUUUAUAUUUAUUCGAGCUACCAAAAAUCAAAAUUCGUUUUUUCUUUUUCCACAUAUCUACUGAAUAUUUUAUAUGGAGAUCUUUAAGCAUAUUAUCUGUUCUUCCUAAGAAAAAAAAUCACGAAAAAUAAAUUAAAAUGCAUGUUUAACUGACCCUAUAAUCAAACUGGUUCCAGCAGUUGCAACACAAGCUGGGAUGCUAACAGUUCUUGAAACAAGUCUUCUGAUUUCAGGCUCUUUCAUCUCGUAAUUGCUUUUCAUCUGCCAUAAUAAAUAUCAUACUCAAAUUGAAUUUUUUUUAAAGGAUAGAGGAAAGGCAAAGCAACGAAACUGACUUAGAAAGUGGAAAACAAAGCUACAUUAAAUUGCCGAUACCGAAAACUAUACAAUAUAUGAACUGAUAAACUGAAUGAACAUCAUGGUCAAGCAGCAUAGCGCCAGAAUAAUGUUGAAUUAAAGUCAAUAGUCACUUAAGAAAUUAUUAGUUGAUAUAUCGGAGCAGUGGUCCGCUUUAUUUCGUGUAAACAGCCUACAUUAUGUAUACUUAAAACACGUCCGGUCGUCUCUAAACUUAAACACCAUAUUUUGUAUGCAAAGAUUACACAAAACCUUAUAAAAAUAACCACAAUCCCCAAUCCGUCAUCUACUGCAUCUCUUAAUGAUGCAUAAAACCAAGUCAAUUACAAAAUUCUUAAUCCAAGUAUAUUGAAGAUCAAGGUUUAAACAAACACAUGUAUAAAUAAUUCAAGAUUGGAAUUGAGAGGAGGCGAGAGGGGAAAACGAAGCUUAUUAUUUGGUAGGGUCUAUGUUUAAGUAGUCGUAUGAAAGACAUUGAGGAUUAGGUCAUGGCCGUUACACUGGAAGUAGAUUGUAUAUGUAAAAUAUAAUCUAUAAUUACAUAGUGGGGUAGCUAACAGUUCUUUCUAGACCAAAUACUAAAUAUUUUGUUGAAUCCCGAUAAUAAUAAACAAACAAUUUAAUGUUAUAGUGACAAGGGAAUAAUAAAAAGAUGAGUUUGAAAUAGCUGAUUUCCAAAUCUUAUUCAUCUACUGGCUCCAAGAAUUUCAUGGUUUUUGUGUGUUGCAAGAAGCAAUGGUAGAGAGCUUAAAAUAUUAGGAAAUGCUUACAGCUUUCUCAAUUGAUUGAAGCCUUUCUUCAACUCUUGACUGAUGAAGGUGCCGUAAAGAAUAACCUGCAUCAACAUCCACGUCAUAUGUGUCGCAAGUCUUCAACAAACAGCUAAGUAGCAAUCUGCCAUGCCAUUUUAAUUAGUUCUUGAAAUAUAUUUUCAAUCAAUUCAUGGGCCAUAAAAAGCCAAGAAUCCGUAUAUUUUGGCUUUUUCCCUAAUCUAUUUCGAGUCACAGUUCUCGAUCGAAAUGAACCGCACAGCGUGUAAAAAUAUACAAUUCCCUUCAUUUAUCGUGUUUUAAAAGUUUCAGUAGGCUAGUAGUACUGUCGCAUACACACUUAGAAAUACUUCCAUUCAAAUUUUUGUACUCCAAUUCUAAUAAUGCAGUUCCAAAAAUCCAACACAACAAUUAGAACCCUUAAAAAUUCCAGGCACAAACAAAGAUUGAACUUUCAGAAAAUCCCAAUUUCUGAAAAAUACUAGAAUUACAUAAUAGGUUUUUAAAAGGGGAAAAAAAAACAGAAAAAUACCAGCCCAUGCUGUAGCCACUGAAGCAAUAGAUGUGGAGAUAGUAAACACCACUUUAUGCCUCUCAAAUAAAUCCUGCAAAAUUAAAAAAACAAGGAAAAAAAUUGUCCAGAAAUACGAAUAAAAAACAAAAUCCGGAUAAUUAAUUGAGUCGACCCGGAACAACUCAUUCUAAUUAUACACAUACCUAUGCAGGAAACAGAAAAAAGAAAAGAAGAAGAAAAAAAAGGAAUCUUUAUAGUUUACCUUAGUGGAGUUGAAAGUGGCCUGAACGGCAGACAAUGAAUUGGAAGCUUUUGUUCUGAAUUGGGUCAGAAUUUGAUGGUUCGCAAUCGAGGAGCCCGACGCUCGCAACCGCGAAAUUGUUCUCAUAAUUAAUUUAAUUUUAAUUUUAAUUUUAUUCCCAGCGAUGAAUUCUCAAUUUUCAUGGAGAAAAAAACAAGGGUUUAUGGGAUUUAGAUUAUUAGUACAGUGGGAGCAUUUCAAGUUUCAACGAUUCUCCGUUUCUCCUGCGGAAAAUCGAGACUUGGGGAAGAAUCUAUUCUUUCACUAAAUAAAAUCUAAUUUAUUUAUAAACAUAAAAAAGUUGAGAAAAACACCCUCAUGUUUGAAUAAUUACAAUCACCCCUCAACUAUAAAUCUUUUUACACGACCACCCUUGCGGUUCAAAUUUAGUGGAAUCUUCUUGAUUAUAUGGAAUAUUAUCACUUGUGUACCCGUUUUAUCUCAUUCGAGCUCUACAUUUUUAAGCAAGAUGAUCAUAAGAUGUGUCUUUGGCUUGUAUAUAUCAGAUUGUGGUGCAUCAUAAACUGUAUUUUCAAAACGAGUACAAACUAGAGCACAUUCCACGGAAUCUAGAUGAUUAUGUUGAAUAUGACACCAUAAGGGUGGAGGUGUAAGAAGAUUUACAGUUGAUGGGUAAAUGUAAUUAUCCAAACAAGAGAUGGAUUUUCAUAAUUUGACCAUACGUCAAGGGGUGGUUGUAAUUUACCCAAAAAGUUAUAUAACCUAAGCGAUAUAAUUGUAGGGUAGGAGGGUUCGGUCCAGGUCUGGGUAUGAGAAAUGAAGAACCUUAGUCGGCCUUUUAUGUAGCACAGUUAGGCAUUGGGUCAUAGGCUCCUAGUCUCUGGGUCGGAAACCUGUCGGUCCCAGUUUACGGUUAACCACGCAGUUAACCGUUUAUUUCUAGUUUUUCUUUUAAUUGUUAUAAUAUGUGAAGAAAUUGUGUUAACAACACUUAGAAAUUAUGUAGAGAUAUAUAAUUUUGUUGAUCCAAUUAAUAUGGCAUUAAAUUUGGAUAACCAAUUCAUUUCAAUAAUGACAUGAAAAUGGUCAAUUGGAAGGAUAUAUCAUAAGAUUAGAGUCUAAGAACUAGUCUUGGAUCUGUGUAGGGGAACUUUUGAUAAACAAAUUGAAUUUUAGUUCAUCGUCGGAGAGUAUAAUUAUGCUAAAGAGACUAUCAAAUAAACUAGGUUUAAGUGGGAUUUAGCAACCAGAGUAUUCAAGAUGAAUGAGUGAAUUGAUCCAUAGUCAAUAAGGGUCUGAACAUGGGUUAUUGCAAAUACAUAUGAAGUUGUCAUUGAGGAAUGAGUUUUGAUUAUAAAACUGUAGGGAAUCUCUUUAUGUUUGCGAUUUCUUGCACUGGAAGUAGUUGUUGGUACUCAAGAAACAUAUCUAGAAGUGAGCCUUUCUGCAUUUCGGGCAACUGAGCUUAAGGCCCGGUAUAAUAGAUACUAAAUUCAAAGGGCAUUUUCCUUUUCGCUGGUUGAUUCCGCUAUUGGCUUUCUUCCACGUACGAAAGAUAAAGCAUGAGAUGGUCAUGACUAUAGAAUCUUCAAUUCAUAUUGAUCUGCCUCCAGUGCCAUGUCAACUACUACACGGAAUGUUGUAGCAGAAGACAUGCGAACAUCUCGUAACACGCUUGAACUCUGAGUUGGUGCCUCUUUGGAAGUGGUUUGUUUGUUCGUUGGCGUCUUUGGAUAUGAAAGGAGCAUAGAGACACACUUGCUCAAAUCGGCUAACAUAAAUUGCAACGGUCAAACUACUUUGUUUUAAUUAAAAAAUUCUUUCAAUUUUUGGGCUCGAAAAUUUGUAGAGAAAUACUUUUUAGAAAAAUUGGACUUUGAAUUUUUCUCAUCUAGUAUUUCAUAGUUAGAUUCUUUCUUUAAGGCCUUCCCAUCAACGAUGGACAUCAUUCUUUAACAAGAUUAGAGCACAAUGGACUCAGUUUCGGCGAGUCAUUUCUAUAUAUACGAAAAAACUUUGAGACUUGAUCCAUUCUUCAGACAUGUCACCAGAUUUGGGAUGCCAUGGAAUUAGGCGGGAUUCAUUCUCAAAUAAAAGAAGAACGAAGAAGAAGAUAAAGGGGUAGGUAACCCCCCUUUGAGAGAAUACACGCCUCUCACGAAGAGAGAAUCUUCAAUUUUUUUAAAUUUUAAUGGUUAACCCAUUCUUAAACCUCAAAAUGAUCAUUCAACUUUUGGAAAUGGGUAGUAAAAUUAAUUAGUGAAGCAAAUGUGAGAUCAAUACAACCAAGGUCAAUAUAAUUAGCUUAAUUAUACUAAAAUUGCACGCUGCUGCUGCUGCUAGAGUGUUGUGGUUUUAACUAAAAAAAACAAGAGUAUUUCGCCAAAAUGACGAACAAUAAACAUUUAUCGAUAUUUAAAACAAAAAAGACCUUAUUCCUAAUGAAAUUAGGUCGCAAAUUGGUCCUAUUUAAAAUCUCAAAUAUAUGGUAAAACAUUGAAAUUAAAAAAUGUAAUGCAUCAAUACAAUAUUAUAACCAAAUGAUCAAUUAGAUAUGACGUGGAACACUCCCAUUGGUCCGAUCUACGUAGCACGAAAAACAGCCUUCCUUUUUAAAUCCCUGAAAAAUCAGUACCUAUUCAAUUAGAAAGAAACAAAAAAUGGAGAAAUCGACACUGAUCUCACUCAUUCUUCUCUCCUUGAUUGGAAAAUUAGGGGUUUAUGCUUUAUACGGACCAUCUUCCCCAGUUCUUCAGCUUACCGCCGACAAUUUCAAGUCCAAGGUACACGCAUUCAUUCGUUUUCUCUCUGCGCUUUGUCAGCCUUCUUUUUUUUUUUAAUAGAAAUUUUGUUGUAAUAGAAUUAAACCCUAAUUUACGACUGUUAUAUGUUAAGUUGUUGAUGUGAGUGAAGUUGAGAUCUGAUCAAUUUUUUCUUCGAUAUUUGUUUCUGUAAUGUGGUAAUGGUAGCUAGCAUGAUGAUUGAUCCGAGUGGUGCUAAUUAAAUCUGAAUUUGUUCAUGUGUUUUUUUUUUUUUACUUUGGGUGGAUAUCGGUUUUAAUUUUUUGAAUUUUUUUGAGACGGCGGCAUUUAAUUUGUAUUGUAAUUUUGCACAUGAAAUUGUAUCAUUUUUGUAAAUGAAAUUAUGUAAUGCAGGUCCUUAAUUCAAAAGGCGUAGUUGUGGUUGAGUUCUUCGCACCAUGGUGUGGUCAUUGUCAAGCGCUGACACCUACGUGGGAGAAGGCAGCUACUGUCUUGAAAGGCGUAGCGACUAUCGCGGCUCUCGAUGCUGAUGCUCACCAGUCACUAGCUCAGGUGUCUACAUUGAUUGAAUACUUUCGUUGUGGAGUUUGAUUUCAUGACAAAUUGUCUUUCUUCUGUGUUUUUUUUACUGAAUUAUUUCCAUCUAAAAUUUGACCUAUUCGAGAAUUAACAUCAACAGACAAAAAGUUGGAUCAUUUAUACUCUAAGAACCAUGUAGAAACCUUUUGAUGUUCAGCAAUUAUGAGUAUGUUGCCAUGGUUCUUGCUCUGCCCCUAGAUACUGAAGCAAAGAAGACAAAUUUCAUGCACCCUUUGACUUGUUUCCUCUUUGUUUCUUACAUUUCUUGCUGUAGAAGCUAAGGAACAUUCUGGUUCAAUGAGUUUUAUUACUCAAAUGCCACAUGAGAUGAAGUUUCUUGUACGUGUUUAGGUUUCGUUUUUCAUUUCUUAGUGAAGGUGUGUUUAUUUCCGUGUAAGAUAUGUGCAUUGCCAUGUUCUUGACUGAUGGCCGUUUUUGUUUUAUUGAUAUCCUCGCAUUAACAACCAUGUUUUUCCUUUAGUUUUUACCUUUCAUCCUUUUUUGCUGUAGGAGUAUGGAAUCAAAGGGUUUCCUACGAUUAAGGUCUUUUCACCAGGAAAACCUCCUGUAGACUAUCAAGGAGCUAGGGAUAUCAAGCCCAUCGCGGAAUUUGCACUGAAACAGGUGAGAGUAACUUUUCGAAUACUUUGUCUUUUAGUCGAUUUCUUAUGUUUUGCCCUUACUAUGCGAUUAAUAUUUUACACCGAUCUUUUAUUUGUUUCUUAAAUGUCAACAUUUUAUCUAACCACAUCUUGUUUUCAGUUGACAAAAUUCCAGGCAUUAUCAUGCUGGCUUAGUUUUAAAGUUUUAGGCACUGUCACUAUGUCUUAGGUCCUUCCUCAAGUAUUAUAAUCAGAUAUAUUUGUCAGUAGACAGAGAAUUAUGUGAUAACCUUAGGAUCAAGUCUUUUGUUGUAGUGCAUAGUGGCACUUAUUUGUGGUUGGCUUAACACCUGGUCAGCGUAACUCAUAAAGUCAUUAUAAAAUUCUGAAUAAUGUAAGUUUCCGAGUCAAGGACACUGCUCUAUUUCUGCAUUUGCUUUGGAGUAGUAGUAGUAAUAAUAAAGAAUCAGGGUUUCGUGCAGGGACAUGGAUAACAUUCCGUUUCUAUAUUCGUUUUUGUUUAGGUAAGAGCACUCGUGAAGGAACGUCUGGAAGGGAAGUCAUCGGGAGGAUCCAGUAAGAAGUCAGAACCCAGUGCUUCAGUUGAAUUGAACUCAAGUAAUUUUGAUGAACUGGUACUCAAAAGCAAGGAGCUCUGGAUUGUCGAGUUCUUUGCUCCCUGGUGAGUGCCUUUUUGAUAUAUAUGUUUUCUUCCAGAGGUCUAACCCUUGAAUUUUAUCUGAAUGUUCUUAACUGAUGCUCUAAUCCAAAUCCCCUAAAUCAUUGUUUGGGCUGCAUUAGGAAAAGCCAAAUCCCAAGGAGUAAUAUACUUCUGUGUUACUAUUUAUGGUAAAUCUAUAGUUAUUCAUUUAACCGACGAGACUGCAAUGAUUAUUGCAUGGUCUUCAACUUGAAAUGCUCGAGGUCUCAACUUAGUGGACAGUUCUUAGAUAUUCCUGUAGCUUUCUCUCCUUAUCUCUUAUUUUUCGAUUCCCUUCUCGUCAGUUAUCACAUCUAUCUCCGCAUGAAUAACUGUGCCUCUGAAGGAUUGGCCGAGUAAAUUGCAUAGUUGAUUUGGGUGGACUGCCAAAGCUUUGAGGGACAUAUGAUAGAUCCAUUGGGGCCAGAAUGUUGGUUAAACCCAAUGUAAUUGAUUGGCAGUGACUGGGGUCUGUGGAACUAGAACGGUGGGUGGGCCAGGGUUGUGGGAGAUUUUUGGUGAUUGUGAUUGACGAAUAUUGGGGUCAGUAAGGUAAUUAUACACUAGGGUGGUGGGCUCACGUUGUGGUGUGUAGGUGGGUGGCUAUAUGAUUUGGAAAAAAAAUGAUGCGGGUGGCAAAGCAGCCAUAGUGGGUCCAUGGACGAGGAUGGUGGCAGGGGAUUAUAUGUAACACCAUAGUCUAGGGGAAGCAAAGAGAACAAAGUGAUGGUAAUGGGUGGUCACUUUAAUGGGAAAAAUGGGAAAAAGGACUACGAGAAUUUGAAUAUAAGGACCAAAGGAGCCAACUACCAAAUGAGAUAGGAACGGUCUGGGGACAACUCCUGCUAUAUGUAAAUUUAUAGUAUUCCGAAAUUUAUAUUUCUUGCUUUUUUUUUUGUUUAACAUAGUUGUUACCAUUAUCUUCAAACAAUGAUUUAGGGGAUGCAAUUUGGUUUGAUAGCUUUUGGUUUGAUGUAAUUUGCUGCUGUGAAGGUGCGGACACUGCAAGAAGCUUGCUCCUGAGUGGAAGAGGGCAGCCAGCAGUCUGAAGGGCCAGGUGAAGCUGGGUCAUGUAGACUGUGACGCCGAAAAAGUAAGUCCAACCCAUUAUUAGAUAUUGACCACCACCCCCCACACACACACACAUGACAUAAUACACUUAGCCAAAUAUGAUUGCUGGCGGAUACAUAAAUUGCACCGUCUUUUUGGCCGAUUGGAUAUAGCUAGUUGUUGGUCUCUAUAACUUAGGAAGUUAUAAUUAGUUGAUUGACAAUGGAAUGGCAUAGUUCUAAUAAAUAUGAGUUUCCAGUCUUUGAUGAGCAGGUUCAAUGUGCAAGGAUUUCCCACUAUCAUGGUGUUCGGUGCUGACAAAGACAGUCCAUUUCCAUAUGAAGGUGCCAGAUCAGCAUCAGCAAUUGAAUCAUUUGCGUUGGAACAGCUUGAAACAAAUGCUCCCCCUCCUGAAGUGACUGAAUUGACUAGCCCUGUUAGCUCUCUCUCUCUCUCUCUAGAACACCUUUAUUUUAGUUGUUAUCAAAGGGGCCUUAUUAAUUGCUGUCAUUCUAUAGGAUACUUUGGAGGAGAAAUGUGGUUCAGCUGCCAUCUGCUUUGUUGCCUUUUUACCUGACAUAUUGGACUCCAAGGCCGAGGGCAGAAACAAAUAUCUCGAUCUUUUGUUAUCUGUUGCAGAAAAGUUCCGAAAGAGCCCCUUCAGGCAAGGAAAUUAUCCCCAUAUAAACUGAGUAACAAUGUCUUAAAAGGAACAAUUCUAUUCCACACGACUGACUUAAGUUUGAUGAAUGAUGCAGCUUCCUUUGGGCUGCUGCGGGUAAGCAAUCUGAUCUUGAAAAACACGUCGGAGUUGGAGGCUAUGGGUAUCCAGCUUUGGUAGCCCUCAAUAUCAAGAAGAAAGUUUUUAACCCACUUAAGAGCGCAUUUCAGCGUGCUCAGAUUAUGUAACCUACUCUCUCUCUCUCUCUCUCUCUCUCACACACACACACAACACACACUCAAUCGAAUAAUGAUAUAGAAUAUAUAGUAAUUAAAAGCCUCUCUCUUUCUCUCUCUGAUGAAUAAUGUAUGUAUGUAUUGUCAGAGAGUUUGUGAAUGAAGCAAGUCAGGGUGGAAAAGGAACCCUGCCUUUAGAAGGAAGCCCUGAAAUAGUGAAGACAGAAGCAUGGGAUGGUAAAGAUGGAGAGAUAUUUGAAGAAGAUGAGUUCUCCCUUGAAGAACUUAUGGCUGAUGAUGACACUCUUGCUACUAAGGAUGAGCUCUAGUUUUACAAUUUUUUCUUUUAUUUUAUUUACAUUUAGAGAAAACAUUUAAUUGAGCUAAAAACAGUUUUGAUUGUUGAAUUGGCAUUGCAACUCUUCUGAAUGCUUUAGUUGUCUUAAUACAACAGUCUUACUCGUCGUCUGUAGGGGCUUGUGCACAUGUAUGUGUUAUACGCGUGUGUGCACUUGAAUAUAAUCGAAUGGUAAAACUUUUUACGACUUCACUUCUGUCACUAUUAUACCUCCGGCAUAGCAUGAUUCGAGUCAUGUCUUAAUACAAAAUUGUCCUCUCGAAAUGAAUCACAUGAACUGCAAUUACAAUAAUCACACACACACACACACACACACACACACACACACACACACACACACACACACACACACACACACACACACACACACGCAUUCUAGUGUAUCAAAGGAACUUGUGCAAAGCAGUCUUGACCAAAUGAUCAGCAACGAGUCUAUUAGUCUUCUCGGUAGGAUGAAAUGCGUCCCAAAACACAUAUUUGUUUGCAUCGGAACAUGUAAACGGGUUGCGUUCGUCACAAGCAUAUCCCAUCUCGAACAUCCCCGUUGCGCAACAUGCCAUUUGAGAAACAUCAUACCCUGCAAAUAAGAAGGCCAAUAUUGCAAGAAAAAUAUAAAUAUUUGAGAAAAUGGUUGCUCGUUUUUCGUUUAAAGAACGAAAAAAAGAACUUACCAUAUGCGGAUGGGUUCGUGAUUAUUUGUAGAAGUAUGUAAUAAGGGUUGGAGAAAACCAGUUGUAACCUUGGUAAUUUUUUGUUUAACUUGGUCACUAAAUCAUACAACUUCCCAUUGAAGCUCAUGGCGACUAUGUUAUAAUUCUCAAUGCAUCCAUUUCCAUUAAAUAUAUUUCGUGUUCUUUCUAAGGGCAUACAACCCAUUGGAGGUAGCCCUCUGAGGCUUAUUUUACGUGCACCCAAGCCGUGAAGAUUGAUGACAAAUUUUUUGGCGAUUCCGAUGAGAAAUUGUUGGUACGCAUCCACCGUGUACUGCGAUCUUCUCUGCGAAUUAAAUGUGUAAUAAUUUUCUAGAAAAUCGUUCGUUCCGAUACUUAUCAUGUACAACGCCUUGGCGAUAGUAUUGUAGGCUUUCGCAUCACCAAGAUAGGCUUUUAGUCUCCUUUGGUAGUCUUUGUAGUAUUCCAAUUCCCUCCAUAAAGGAAUCACCCCCUACAAAAUUGAAAUUUUGUUGUGCAUCAUAAGAUUGAUUAUUCUUCAAGAUUGAUCAAGAAACAAAUUAAAGAGGCAACUCUCAUUUUCAUUUGAUUGGUGUAAAUUGUAAAUGCAAUGCUUCUCUGCUUCUAAGUAGGUAUAUUUUUCUUUAUUUUUUUCAAUAAAUACUUUCAUUUUGAACCGGUACGAAAUCAUUCAUUUCAUGAACUGGUUAAGGGUCGGGAUACCUAGGGUGUUCAUUCGGUAAUUCUGUACUGAACCAUACAUGAAUUUCAGUAAAACAAAAUUUCGGUACUUCAAAAAUUUGUACCCUUUAUUCGGUUCGGUACAGAUUUUUACCAAAUAAAUUUGGUUUUUUCAGUUCGAUGACGGUAAAACCGAAAAUAUAUUUUAUUAUUUUAAAAAAAUGUAAAAAAAUAAUUUAAACUAAUUAAUUCUUGAAUUCGACAUUCAAAAUUUCAAUAAUCGACACAAAAAAAAGUGAAUAUCAAUAGAGGCUAAUUUUAAAUAAUUGAAAAAUAUAGGGAAUUGCUAUUUGCGGUUUGAAAAUUGCUAUUUGCGGUUUAUAACAAAAUCCCCCAAAAAAACACUUUAUUUCACUAAAACCCCAAAACUUCCCAAAAAAAUCCAAAACCCCCUCAAAACGCGUAAAAGCCCAACUUGGGCGCCCAUUCAUGCAGUGCACGCCCAAGUUGGGCGUGCAAGCUGCAUUUGGGCGUCUAGUGCAAAUUUUUUUUUUUUUUUUUCUUUUUUAUUAAAUGUUCGAACGCUCAAGAUGGGCGCCCAAGGCGUGUACGACCGGGCGUUCGUACACGCCUUGGGCGCUCAUCUUGGGCGUUCGAACAUUUUUUUGCGAAAAAAAACCCUACAAAUCCGGGCGUUCGUACACGCCUUGGGCGCCCAUCUUGGGCGUUCGAACAUUUUUUUGCGAAAAAAAAGCCCUACAAAUCGAUUUGUAGGGCUUUUUAUCAUGAAAUUGGUUCCGUAAUCGACCUACCCAAUGCAUAUUACACAUAAAAGAGUCGAAAUUACAUCAAAAAAUCGAAGCCCAACCCUUCUUCAAGCUUGAUUUUGAAUUUUCGAUUUUUUUUUUUAAUUUUACUAUUUGCAGUUUGGGGGUUUUUUUGAUUUUUUUGAAAAGUUUUGGGGGGUUUUGUGAAAAACGAAAUAGCAAUUUUGUAACCGUAAAUAACAUUUCAUAAAAAAUAUUAAUCUAAAAGUAUUUAUAAUUUGUUAUAACCUUAACGGAAUUUAAAUAAAAGAAAAAAAAAUUAUUAAAUAUUUCGGUAUUCGAUACGGUGCAGUACCGUACUGUACCGAAUACCGGAAUUCCAAAAAAAAUCUUUACCCACUGUCGAACCUAAUUCUUAACUCGUGACCAGGUGGCUCGUGACCUGUGGUCAUGUGGAGGUACAAGUAUAAGCCAAACACGACAUGCUCAUAUUUAUACAAUUUUAUAUACUUUUUAUAUUUUAAUAUAAAAUUGCCUAUUCUUAGAUUUAAAAAUACACCUACACCCUUGAGGUAUACUUAAAUAUUUUAAGGUCCCUACGAUAUCGAUAAUUACACUCACCCCCCUGAAACGAAAUUGGAAACUCUAACGGGAUAAUACAUUGGAUGCAUUAUUCCGAUAUGGUUCUAAUUGACUAUUCCUUUUAGCUAGUGGUGGGGAUGACAUAGAGUUAUUAGGAGUUAUGGGGUGACAUGGCUCCCAUAAUAUUUCUUAAAUCACCUAUAACUCUUUGUUGUCUCCACCACUUCCUGAAACGAAUAGUCUGUUAGAACUCUAUCGUAAUAAUGUAUCCAAUGCAUUAUUAAAACAUUAGAGUUUAUAACUACGUUUCCAGGAGGUGAGUGUAAUUAUCAAUACCACAGGGACCUUAAUGUUAUUUAAGCAUACCUCAGGGGUUUGGGUGAAAAAAAUAUAUUUUGGGGAAUUUGGCGGGGCAGUGAGAUAAUAUAAUUAAAAAAAAUAGAUGAUAAUACUACAUACUAAAAGGGAAAGUAAGAAAGAAAGUUACGAGAACAUGAGAAGUAGCGUUAUCAUAAGUCAUAACCACUUAAUUCCAGCAGAAGCAAACGUGACCCCAAUGCCAAAAUCUGUAAUAUUAUACGCAGUAUCCAAGUACGCCGGAACCGACCGCCGGAGCCCCAACGCCUCAGAGAUGAAAUCGGUUGCGAUCCGGCCGUUUGAAAACCUUCCGGUGGGUUUGCCGCCGGCGAAAUCACGACCGUACGGCUGGAAAUUGCUCCUGGUACUUUAUUAUUGGCUUUUGUCGCACUUGCGGCAGCGGCAGCGGCGGCGGCUAUGAACAUAUAGUUGCUUCACCGCCCAUGUACAUGAUGCCAUUCUACUUUGUAUGUUUUUUUUUUUUGUGCUUGUCUGUAUUUAUAGUGAAUUUGGGGGAAAAUGAUGAUCAGAGGAGAAUAAAUGAAACCGGUGAGCUAAAUUUGUGGGAAAUUUAAUGCCGGUUUGACCCACUAGUUGUGGUAUGACCAUGGUUCGUCGGAACGGAACAGUGCAUUGUCGCGGACAUUGCCGUUUCAGUUCCGUUGCAAUGUCGCGGCUGCGUCGCGAUUGGAACGGAUAUAUUUUAAUUAAAAUGCGAAAAAUUAGAAUUAAUGUCAAAUAAGUUAUUACUAUUAACAUUACCGUAGAAUAAUAUACAAACUAUCAUUAAAAUUGCAAUUUUAAUUUUAGAACAAUUUUUUAAACUUUGAGAAAUAGAAUUAAGGGUGAAAAUGCAAAUUUUGAAAACUUAAAAAAUCUACUGAUAAUCAUGACAGUCGUUCCCCAGUCCCAAAUCAAACUACAUUUAAAGUGUUUCACCUAAUUGUAAUUUUUUAAAACUUUUAAUUAAAAGUUAAAAUUUUGAAAUUCUUAAAUCGUCGUUGGAGACCUGAAAAAGUAAAUUAUGAUGAUUCAUGCCGUUCCAGGCCGUUCCGGUACCCGUGACAACCGCGACCAUCCGAUUUAUUGCAAUGUCCCGGUGUUCCGGCUGUUUUUUGCCCAUUUGGCAAUUUUUUUGUUGUGGAACGGUUUGGUUACGGUUUCCGGAACGGAGGGCACCGUUCCCGUUCCGUUCCGGCCGUUCCGACCGUUCCGGCCGUAACGACCGUUCUGGCGCCGUUCCGGCCAACCAGGGGUAUGACCAAGGUUCUAAAAUUGGUCGAGAUAGACGAUCAAUCGGUCUUCGAGGCGGAGGCAGUCUAAAUUUUUUACGAUUUUAGUGUAAAUGUUUGAAAAAUCGGUUUUUGCCUAUAAGGCGUUUUUAGGCGGUCCGAGGUGGGUUGAGGCGGUUAAAUCUUAGAAGCGGGUCAAACUUUGGUGACAAAAAUGGGUCAAAAAUCGAGAUUUUUUUUUCUUUCUGAAAUAAUUUCUUUUUGGGCUUUUAAUAAAAAAAGAUUUUAUGCUUUGUUUUAUUUGUUAAUGUUAAUUUUUAUUUUUAAAGGACCUAAUAAUAUAUGCUUUCAAUGUUCAAGUAUAAUUUUGGAUGCACAAGAUUUUUGUUUUAUUUUUAUUUUGUAAGAAUUUUUAUCAUAUUAUGAUCUUAUUAUUAUUAAAAAAAUUAUUAUGUGAUUAUGAUAUAUAAAUGAUUGGGAUAAAAUCAUGUUUAUAUAUAUAUAUAUUACAUUAAAUUUAAAAAAAUCGAUUUAUUUCUCAUUUAUCAUCAAUUAAUCACCACCGCACCGAUUAAUUAUCAGGCGGUGCCUAACCGACUCGGGUCCGAUUUCCCCCCUUUUACAACAUUGGGUACGACCCAUGAACUGGCUUGUUGACCAUGGACCGGUUAUACGUUGAUGUAGAACAAUGAAACAACUUUGUCUUUGAUGGAUUGAGGCGGGUCAAACUUCAAUUCAAAUUAAACAAACUAGGGUUUUCCUUUUUUGUUUUUUCCAAUCCCUUUUUUUCAACCAAUUCCAAACCAAACCGGACUUGGUCGACGACAGCUACAAAUUGAGGCGGUGCUUGUUGGCGGCGGCGUCACUUCACAAAAUUGGGAGGUUUGCAAAGCUCAAGCAUAAAUUUGAAUGCAAAAGAUUUGUGUUGUAUUUGUAUUUUGUAAGAAUGUUUAUUGUAUUAUGAUCUCAUUAUUGCUAAAUUUUUGUUAUAUGAUCAAGAUAUAUAAACGACACGAUAUAAUUAUAUUUAAAUAUUUUUUCAUAUAUGUUUUAAGUAUAUCGAAAUAAUAUUUAGAAAUUUACACUAAAUCUAAAAAAUCGAUUUAUUUUCGAUUUAUCUCCGAUUAAUCACCGCUGCGAAAAUUUAAGUUCAAUCAAAUCAAAUUUAAUUUGCAUUCACCUUUGUUUUAGGGAGAGAUUUAUUUGGCUGCACAUGUAAAAUCAUAAAGUAGCAAAGUGACCUCUUUCCUUUGCAUUCAAAGACAACGAAAAUGGGGGUGCAUUUGCUUUUCCCUUUUUUCAUUUGGUGAUGGAACAUAAUUCUAACAAAUUUAAUAGUAUCCUAACAACUUAUUAAAAUAUACACCAAGUAAUUAAUUAUUGUUCGAUUACUACUAGUGAGUAUAAUUAACUUAAUAUUAUUAUUGGCUCGCAUAAUAAAUGUUUGACAAGAUAUAAAAUGAUUCUAUCGUGCAAAAAGUUUGAACUCUGCAAUAAAAUAUAACUAUCCAAUAGAAUCGAUAAAAAUUUAAAGUUUUCAACUAGUGUAACCCCCUGCUCUUUUUGCAAAUAAUAUUUACCUUAUGAGUUUGGAAGUAAUUUUGAUUUGUUUUUGGUCACUCAAUUUUGGUUAAGUAGUUUUAAUAGUAGUUAUGUGCUUAAAUUAGAAAAAGAAAUGGUUAUUUGUAAGAUAAUGCGAUAUUAUGACAAAAUGAUAACCGGUGAGUGUGGGAAAAUUUUGGGAUACAGAGCUGUUUAGCAACGGCGUGAGCUAAGGCAUUGCCAUCACGCUUAACAAAUUGAAAAGAACAUUGAGCGAAAUCUCGAUCUAGCAAUGAUCGCACUCCAAGUAGAAGAAAAACAAUUUCCUUCAUGAAGUGCUGUGAUAACUUGGAUAUUAUCCCUUUCGAAAGCCACCGACCACCAUCCCUUACUUCUUGCCAGUUCAAUCGCUUUGAGAGCCGCCAUAGCCUCGCCUUCAACCGGACUUAAUUUCCCACGAACAUUAACGUGCCUCCAGUAGACGCAAACGCCGUCGGAAUUUCUCGUCACCAGCCCAAUCGAAAACUUGCACUGCCCCUGGGUCACCGCUGCAUCAAAAUUUAUUUUUAUGACACCUACGGGGGGAGGAAUCCAAACGCUUGGGUGUGCCGGGUGCAUGCUCUCAUUUGGUCUAAAUUGCGCCGUACUGUAAGUUGCUAGAUAGCUUUUGCACCAAGCCACAAGAUCAAGGACUUGCAACUCUUCUUCUCCUUUGAUUGACUUGUUACGUCUUUCCCAGAGCUUCCAUGCAAGUACCACCGCUACCAAAAAGUCACCAUCAUUGAGGGAAUCGGAUAUACUCGAAAGCCAUUGCCAAUUCGAUUUGAAGUUCCACCAGUGAUGUCGUGGCCCUAACAAAUUAGUCCAUGCUACCCCCGCAUCACAACAUUCAAGGAGGGCAUGCAUGGUUGUUUCCAUACCAUUGUUGCACCUACCACAGAUUGGGGAACUACUCACUUUCCUCCUAUAAAGCUCAGCAUUUGAGGGGAGCGAAUUUCCACAGAGCCGCCACAAAAAAAUCCGUAUUUUCGGUGGAAUGGACAAACCCCAAAUUUGUUUCCAACGUCGAGCGUUUUCUUCGUUAUUCCCACCAGCCAUCCCAGCAUUAUCCGGCGCCGAUGAGGAUGUAACGAUCGCAUGAUAACACGACCGUACCGAAAAAUUUCCAUUCGGUGUAAAGUGCCAAAUCCACUUGUCGUUUGUUAGCCCACGACUAACUGGGACUUCCAAAAUUCGCUCUACAUCAACCUGCCAAAACACCCCUUCUACAACGCUUAGAUUCCAAGACUGAGAUUGAGGGUCGAUCAAGUCCGCUACUUUGUCCGGGAACGCUGAGUAGUUAGGCCUUUUAGUUAUCACCUUGAAAUUAUUUCCAUCUCGAAGCCAUGGGUCUGCCCAAAUUGAGGUAUCGAGGCCAUUUCCAAUUUGUCGGCGAAUACAUUUCUUUAAAAAUGGGAUCACCUGCCGAAUGCUUCUCCAAGUGGAAGAGGGACGAAAACCGAUUCCGGCAUCAAACAAAUUGCCACGUGGGAAGUAACGAGCAGAAAGAAUUCGAGCCAAGAGAGAAUUAGGAUUCGUCAGUAUCCUCCAUGCCUGUUUCGUGAGUAGCGCCAAAUUGAAAGAUCGAAGAUCUCGAAAUCCCAUACCGCCAUAUUCUUUUGCCGUACACAUCUUCUCCCAACAGACCAAAUGUAUGCCCUUGUUCGAUCCAUUUCCCCACCAAAAGCGACGUAUGGCUUUUUCAAGAUCCCUCACUCUCCCCAUUGGCAACAAAAAACAACUCAUGACAUAGGAAGGAAUGGCCGGUAAAACGGAUUUGAUAAGUACCUAUUUUCCUGCUUUUGACAGAUACUUUUCACCCCAUCCCCGUAUUCGCGCCCAAACCCUAUCACGUAAGUAAGCAAAAAUCUCUUUUUUCGUUCUACCGAUUACCACCGGCAUACCCAAGUAUUUAUCAUGACAUUCAACCAUCCGAAAACCCAAGAUACCAUGAAUAGUGUUUCUCCGAACCUCGGUUGUGGAAGGGCUAAAACACAUAGUCGAUUUCUCGAAAUUGAUCUCCUGCCCAGACGCCCGAGCAUAUUUGAGCAAAAUAUGCUUUAAAGCCAUCGCAGAAUCCUCGGUAGCUUUUCCAAAAAUAAGAGUAUCGUCAGCGAAACAAAGAGUAGACUCUUCUGGCGCCGAGUUUGCAAGCCGAACCCCUGUAAAUUCCCCCCUCCCACUCGCCUUCGCGAUCAUAACAAUCAUAGCCUCGGCACAACUUAUGAAUAGGUACGGGGAUAAGGGAUCCCCUUGUCUAAGCCCUCGCGAAGGCGUAACUGAGCCAAACUGCGUACCAUUAAAUAAGAAAUAAAAUGAGAUGGUCGAAACACAAAGCAUGAUAAGGUCAAUAAAAUUUUUGGGGAUGCCAAAUCGAACAAGAAUACUUUUUAGAAAAGACCAUUCAAUCCGAUCGUAUGCCUUACUAAUAUCUAGCUUAACUGCCAUGUAAUUAGUUCUAAUAUUAGUGUUAUGCUUGAUGAAAUGAUUGAUUUCGUAAGCCACAAGAAUGUUAUCUGAAAUGAGACGUUUGGGCACAAAGGCAGAUUGAGUGGGCGAGAUUAGAUCAUUAAGAACUAAUUUGAAAUGAUUAGCUAACACCUUAGACCCUAGUUUAUAUAUGACAUUGCAAAGACUUAUGGGUCUAUAAUCAAUAAUUUUCUCGGGAUUUUCUACCUUAGGGAUCAAGACUAUGAAAGUGAAAUUAAGAGUAGAGGGAAGCUUAAGGUUAUUAAGAAAAUCAAGAACACAAGAAGUGAUAUCGGAGCCUAAAAUAUGCCAAUAUUUAGUAUAAAAGGCUACAGGAAGGCCAUCAGGGCCCGGAGAUUUAAAGGGGGCCAUUUGAGAGAUGGCUCGGGUUACCUCGUUUGGGGUGUAUGGCAUAGACAAGAGACGACGGGCAUUCUCGCCAAUUCUGCUUUCGACAGCUUCCAACACUUCAUCUAUCUCAUUCUCACUCGGACUUGUGGACGUGAAAAGUUCUUUAAAGUACUCCGAGAUAAUCCCCUCUAUAUCGCUCGCUGCAUUCUUCCGAUUUCCUGAAGAAUCCUUUAGUUUGUUUACCCUAUUAGUGCAGUGUCGGAUUGUGGCCCUUGAGUGAAAAAAAUUGGUAUUGCGGCCCCCUUCUCUUAUCCAUUGGACUUUGCUGCGCUGUCGCCAAUAUAAGUCCUCAUCCUCGUAUGCUUCCAAUUUGUGUUUGAGUAAUCGAAUUUCUUCUUUGCGUUCCGCCGUGAUACCCAUCUCCGAUAGCUGCUGAAUACGUUUCCUUAAAUCGGCGAUGGCCUUUUUCGGGUGUUGAAACUGCGUCCGCUUUCAGUUAAUUAACGCCAUUCUACAGUCCUUAUUUUUCUGAAUGAUGGCAUCGAUCGAAUCAGUGCCAGCACUAGCCGUCCAAGUUUCUUGAACUACCGCCUCACAAUCCUCCCGUUUUAACCAAACCGCUUCAACCCUAAAAGGCCUUCUCUUCCUGCCCCCUUGAACGACCGAAGUUGCGUUAGCGACAAAACGGAUUGGUACAUGGUCAGAUCCUGGGUAACUCAAGUGCUGAACUUUACCAUUCGGGUGCUGCGAUAUCCAUUCACCAUUGGGGAAGACUCUAUCCAAACGACAACGUACCGUGUCAUCCGCAAUUCGAUUGUUGGACCAAGUGAAUGGAACCCCCUCACAACCCAUGUCAGUGAGCCCACACACAUCAGUCGCCUCUCGAAACUGUUCAAUAUGUAGCGAAAAUUUAGGGUUUCCACCAUCCUUUUUCUCGUUGCUAAGAAUUUCGUUGAAAUCUCCACAUACGACCCACGGGAGGUCUCUACUUUCUUUAAUGCUACCUAAAAGUUGCCAAGACAAAUACCGUCGGGAGGGUUCUGGUCGGCCAUAGAAACCGGUUAUUCGCCAUUUGCUAUUAUGAUUUAUGUCCGAAACCUCCGCAUCAAUAUGGUAGUUCGAAUAACCAAUAAGAUCGACAUCUACAUCUUUUUUCCAUAAUAACGCUAAACCACCUGACUGGUUGUUCCUCGCUACACCAACUCCAUUUAGAUUCCAUCUUCUUUUUAAAUUUUCGAUAACUAGUAGUGUUGCCUUCGUUUCCGAAAGAAACACGAGCAGGGGCCGAAACUCCCGGAGAAUGUCUCCGAGUACAUGAAUUGUCAAGGGAGCCCCGAGCACUUGACAAUUCCAGAAUAUGCAACUCAUAAUUCUCGGCGGGACUGCACCGCAGUCUCCGCUGUUGAGGCCAGAUCUUCAUUACACAAGCUUGAGUUAUGUCGCUUUCCGGAAACAUGUCGAUCAGAGAGUCCUGUUUCAGUAGCUUUCUUCUUUCGAUUCUUAGGUGGAAGUUUGGGCUGGCUUCUGUCCGAAAGAGCGGUUUUGGCACCCAUAUCGAAUUGAAUAGUGUGAGUAAUCAAAUUUAACUCGUUACCAAUCACCAUGGCAGGUUGAACUGGUCUUGUCUCCGUGGAAGUAUGCUGCAUAUCAUUCACCUUUUGUCUUCCGUAGUUGAAUAUAUCAGCACCUAGGGUUGUGAUAUGUGAUGAUGCGGUCGCAACAACCAAUUGGUUGGUGAGUGGCUGCAAAGGCCGGCGAGAGGAGUCCCAUACCAAUUGUGUCAAUGCUCGCAUCCAUAAUCCAUACGGUAAGUUAUCGCCGGGGUCUGUAAAAUUCUCCUCAUACCUCUCCGGACAACGGUUUUCAGCAUGUCCAAUGCGUCCGCACAAGAAGCAAAAGUUCGCGAGGCGUUCAUAAGUAAAUGCCACCCACACCUUUUCACCGUUGAGAAUAUGAAGAUUCAUGCCAUUUUUUAGACUUUUGAGAACAUCAAGUUUAACUUUGAUGCGAACAUACUGACUCAUAUCUAUAGUUUUAGGGUUUAACAAUUCAACAAACUCUCAUAUCUUUCCGCCAAGAAGCUGCACCGUCUGCUGGUUCCGUGUGGAAAAAGGAAUAUUGUGGAGGCGGACCACAAUCGUCAUCGUGUUUAGUUCCAUAAGGGCUGGAUAUUGAUCGGCAAUGAGAUCUUGGAACAGCAAAGCGUUCUUUUCCAACAACAAAGGGCAUCCCGACUUUGCAUGCUCAUAGUCUAACUGAUGUUCGAACCGGAUAAUGAAUCUAUUCGGCCCCAAUGGUACAACUUUGCAUGAUUUACCCGGUUGGAGGAGGCGAAGUAUGUUGGCUCUAAUGGUCUGUGACGAGAUCUCUCGGGUAGUGACAAUCCGGCCGAUCAACUGAUAUGUAACAUUCAAUAUUCUGGUAUGCGAACUUUCGGUUGUUACUGUGAUCCCCUCUUCCUCAUCAGCCGUAAGAGUGAGACCUUUUUCCAUUGUAUAUGUUAAUCCAUCCAUUUGAGGGAGAGAUAGAUAUGAGUGUUAGGAAGAAGAAAGCAGAAUUGUGAAGAUGUCGUUAGAGUCCCGUCAGAAAAAAUGAGGCGCAACAAGUUAGGGCAAGGAGAAUAGGGAAACAAAAUAGGCAGUGGAAAAACAGAAAAAAAAACCAAGAUGGGAAAAGAAAAACCCUAAUAUUUAAAAAAACGCAGGAGAUAAAACUAAACAAUAGUAAAGCACACGAUUGGAUCUUCCGACCAAUCUGAUAAAGGAUAGUUCAGGCCACCUAGAACCAGCGAUAAACGAGCCAACAUCCAAUAAGCCUAGCCUCUCAGUAGAGAGAAAAAACUCGCCUUUCAAUAGAGAGAAAAAAUUAGGGGUUUUUAAUGCGAUAAGGGGGUAUAACCCUCUCAUACAACUUUCUUAUAGGCAUAAAUCCAAUUUUUUAUUUACUAUUAGGGAUAACCCCUCAUUAAGCUUAAUACCUCAUUUACCUCUAUUAUAUUUAUAGAAGUAUAAUUAAAUUAUUGUUGCAUAAUCAAAUCACGCUAAUUUCCCCCUAAAACAACUCUCCUUAAAUCUCUCACCAACUCAAAAUCUCUUAUGCAAAUCACAUCAUUUCAUUUUUUUUUUCAUUAUUUUGUUACAAUUUCUUUUCUAAUUUUGAUUUAAUUUCUUUUUUCAUUUUUUUAAAUGGUUUUUCUUUACCGCAAGUUUAACAAAAAAUUUAAAUCCACUACAUAUUUAUUGAAAACCACUAUAAAUUCAUCGAAAACCACAACACAAUUAACAUAGAAAUCACUAUGAAAUUAUCGUAAUCAACUUUAAUAUUAAUGUAAUCCACUACAAACGUAUCAAAAUCGAAUAAAAAUUUACAUAAUCCACUACGAUUUAACGUAAUCCAUUACAAAAUUAUCAAAAUCCACUUUAUAGGUUAAAGUAAUCCACUACAAAAUUAACGUAAUAUAUGGUUAAUCCACUACAAACUUAUCUUAGAAAAACACUUAUACAUCAACAUCAAACUUAUCAAAAUCCACUACAAAUUUCCGAAUUUAUGAUAGUGUUGCUCGUGGUUUUCGUUAGGUUAGAGUGACCCGGUGAUAAACAAUACAAACUUUUCAUCACCCAACAUCGUCCCACUUGCUGCCAUCACUUCGCUUGUGCAAGAACCUAAACCAAAGAAAAAGAAGACGACCAUGUGUCAAUUUAAUUCAUUCACUAAAAAUCGGUCUCCAAAUCAAGAAUAUCAACUAUAAUCUCGUCAAAACCCACUACAAAAAUUAUCAAAAUACACUAAAAUAUUAACAUAAUCCACUACGAAAUAAGUUAAUCCACUAUAAAAAUUACAACAAAAGUAUAAUAACAAAUAGUGACCUAAAACAUGAAUGAGGCACAAAGGUAUAUUGGAAAUCUUAUAUAAUAGCUCAUUCAACAAUUCAACUGGUUGCCACUUCUAUUUUGUUAACCAUCAUAUUUAAUUUAUUUAUGGAUAUAGAGAAAAAAUGACCGCGACAAAAACAAUAGCAAACCAAUAUCUUAAACAACAACAAACCUACAGGAAAACAACAGCAGCAACAAAACUAGCUGCAAAUUAGUAACCAAACAGCAGCAAAUUGCAACAAACCCAACAGAAAACAACAGCAAAAUAGCAGCCAAACAAUAGCCAAUUGCAGCAAAAAAUACAAUAAAUAAAUUACAAUUAUAAGUUUUCGGAAAAAAAAAAAUCCAAAGUUUGAAAAUAUUUUUGGAAAUAAUGUGAAUUUUCGAUAAUAUUUAGUGCUUCACCUUAUUAAUUCGCUUAUUGUAUUCCCUUAAUAAAAAUUAAAGAAAUAAAAAAAUAAUUGCUCACCGAUUAAUAUUGAUUUUAUUCUUCUUUAUUGGUCACCGAUCUUCAAAUCAAAUUGAAUAACAAAUCUAUGAAUCUGAAAUCGAAUAAAAAAAACUAUGAAUCUCAAAUCAAAUUGCACUCCCUUUAAGUUGGUGGUGGCGGCGGCCGCGACAUCUCUACUGGUUGGGAAUCUACAGAGAUCGGAGGGGGCGUACUAGGGAAGUCCCGGAAAGGCUUUGAUGAACCAGCACAACACGGAGGUGCUCCACCAUAGGAGCAAGAUGCCUUUUUUCCCUGUGAAAAUAGUGGUCGGUGGAUUUUCCUGGCGAGAAUGGCUGAUAAGUGUUCGUUUUGCACGGUUUUUGCUUAUCAAAUUUUCGAGUUUUGGUCUUCGUUCGUCCGAGUUUCGGCUUUAUUUGUAUAUAUUAUUGUGUUUCUUGUUUUACCUCUAUUCCUAGGUUUUAUUAGGUAUUUUUUCCGAGUCAAAGCCAUUUGAAAGCGAAACCGAAUUUUCAAGCCAAUUUUGGGGCCAAGAAGACCCAGAUCGCGAUACAGGAACUGCGUAUCGCGAUCUGGGGGUUGUCACAGAAAGAAAAAACAUCAAGACCCAGAUCGCGAUCUGGGGGGUUAUACAGAAGACUUUCUACUCAAGAUCCAGAUCGCGAUCCAGAACUCCGUAUAAGCGAUCUGGGGGUCUCACAAUGCAAAUUUGUUGAAGACCCAGAUCGCGAUACACAUAUAUGGAUCGUGAUCUGGCAUGGCGGUGGGCAGUUCCCCGAGGCUGCCAGAUCGCGAUCCAGACAACCCAAAUCGCGAUCUGGGCACGCUUUUUGAGAAAGAUAUUUUGUUUGCAAAGCUUCUUGAGGAAGUUUUGCAUUUUACUAUAAAUAGAAAGGCCCUUUCAUUCUUCAUUUCUUCUUCGAAUUUUUACGGUUUUUCGACAGUUCUUCGCGGGAAUCAUCAACGGGGGUUUCGACUUGGGUUUUUCUUAUGCAAUUUCUUUACGUUUUGUUCUUCAUUUCUUGUGUACAUUCUUUUGACAUUAUGUUUGUUAUGAACUAAGAACAUUCUCUUCUAGGGUAAUGAAACCUUGUAUAUAUUGAUUUCGAUCGUCAUUUCUAUUAUCUAUUUGUCGUGUUUCGAUUUCGUUUAUGUUUUCCUGUAUUAAAUGCUUCUGAUUGUUUGAUCAGCUCUCGGAUUGAUAAAUAGGAAUGAACUCGAGAGAGGAUUUCUUGUUUGAAGUUAGGAAAACAUAGCUCGGGGUGUGGAAACGGACACGUGAUGCACUUCGGGUAGCCCUUAAGGACUUGACAUAAAUGCUCUCUUAAUAACAGGUUCUGAACGGAGACGUCGGACCUGUGGGUAGACUUUAACUACACUGGAGAUAGGGGUUAGAGUACAUUAGCGUCUGGUUUAGUGAAUAGAAAUGUGACUUUAGAUAACGGAUUUGUAGAUCGUUGUUGAUUAUACAUAGGUGGAUUUGGCCCUAGAAGUCCCUGUUAAAUUGAAGCCCUCCCGUGUUGAAUUGUUGCUAUUUCAUUUACGUACAUUCUAUAUUGCAUGUUUACGAUCUUGCAUGCUUUCAAAUUAGGGUUUCUCACUAUUCCAAUUAUUUACGAUCGUAGAUAAUAUAACGAUAAUAUAAUUACACUACUCAGCAUGUGGAUCUACAAGGUCCCUGUGGAUCGAUAUCCGGAACCGCUGUUCUGCAAAAUGCGAUACUGUAUACUUGCGGUAAUUUAUACGUGAGGAAAACGCGUAUCAAUGGCGGUCGGCGAAGAUCGGCAGAGAGAGAUGAAGAGACAGAGUGCGGUUGAAAAGAGAGAAAUAAGAGUUGAAAUUGAGAACGUGCAAAAUAAAUACGGAACUAGUAUAAUUAAUUCCAAUAGUAAUAUACGACCACAUAUACAUAAGGGUAUUAUAGAAAUAAACAUAAUAAAAAAUAUUGUUUAAAAUACAUUCAGAUUUAUCAUAAAAAUGAGAAUUUUUUUGUUCCGUACUAACUACAAAAGCAUAUGAUGAAUUUUCUCAAAUAAUCCCUAAAUAAGGAGAUCGUGCUUUUGAAAUUAUAGUUUUAAACAAAUACUGAAAGAAAACACUCAUUAGCAAAAUUGAUUAAUAUUUUAUUUGAUUUAUUUCUAAACAAUAUUUCAAUUUUUUAGUAUUUCCAAAAUAGUCUUUUUAUUACUUUAUUUUAUUAGUUUUCACUAAUUUAAUGUAUAUAUGAUUUUAAUUAUCCUCGUUUAAUGGGAAAGAAUGUGAUUGGCAUAUAUGUUGUGUGAUUUGUAAGGUGUAUUCGAGCCAAUGCAAUCUCAAAAAGAGAUGAAAAUUAAAUUGAAUUGCUCGAUAUUUGAUAUUAGAUCGUAUGUUAAAAGCGUGUCUUUAUAACUCGAUUUAUUAACACACCGAUUCAAACUUGAGUACAUUCGAGCUCGAGCUCAAACGCAACAUUCAUAACUCGAAGACAAAAAAAAUAAAAAAAAUCAAAUAAGUUUGAAAACAACCGUACAUUCCGCUUGAGUCGAUUCCUUUAAACAUCUUAUUAUCCUAAAACAUAUAUGCACGUAAUAGAAAUAAUAUUUGUACACAUUAAUAUUUUUUUUUUCAAUACAUUAUCAUUUAUUUUACAAAUGAUAAUAUAUUAUAGAACAUAGAAUUCCUGAAGUAAUUAGUUCAUCAUGAUGAAUCAAUUUGUAUCGCCACCAAUCGGAAGAUGGUCAAUGCCCAACAACUUGCGGUCCUGGCGACAGCCGAGGCUAGCCUGGCAACCCCUCCUAUAGGGGUUUGCAGCCACCGGCGUCGACUUUGGUACAGGUUUGUGAGUAUAUCCAAUCAUUUUGCCUCUGCCGCCUUCCGCCGGCGAUGUAAGAAACAUCGCCACCAAAAGCACCACCAACGCCAUGCUCACCAACAACUUCCUCGUCGACGUCGCCAUCGUUAACUAAUUAUUUGGUUUCUCAAUCGAUCAAGUAAUUAAUAUAUUUAUACUAAUUAGGUUCUAAUUCUUUUGUUGUUAUUAUUUAGUUAUUUAAUUUGAGGUGGAAAUGGAACAUAAGAAUUCGACCGUUGAAAAGUUAUGGACUGAAACUAAUAGUUUAGGGAAACCGUGGAGUGGAUUUCUGGUCUAAGGAGAGCCUCCUAAUAUUUGUUACCACCUAAUUAAUGUGGCUUAGUGGAUCUAUACUAAUAAAACAAAUUACUCAAUUUCUUCUAUAAUAUCUAUCAUUUUUGAGAUUAUUUUCUUUCUCUCCAUAUUAUCUAACAUUUUACCAUUCUAAUUUUGCAUUAAUUAUAUAUUUUUUAGUUAUAUCAUUAUUAACUCUCCAAAAAACUUAUCUAUUUUCUAAAAUCAAGACUUAUCUAUUGAGAUUCUUAAAACUUAAGCCAAUUUUAAAUACGACACAUAUUUAGAAACAUAUGGAGUAUAAAUAUAGUAUUGAAAUCAAAAAACGUUAAGAAGUUGCUUUAAUAAUUAACUACUUCAAUAAAUUGAUGUUAGAAAUUUUUCACAAUGAUCAACAUUAAAAAUAAACAGGGACCUUAAAAUAAUUUAUGCAUAUCUCAGGUGUGUCGGUGUAAUUUACCCUAAUUUUUAUUUUGUGCAAAUAUUACAUAUUUGUGGUAGAUUCAAUUUUUUAUUACUGUUAUACUAAGUGUUGACAAGUUCAUAACAUAGGGUAAAUGACAAAUAGGCCCAUGACAAGGGCACUUAAUUAAAAGAGGGACAUCCAACUUUUUUGUCUUUCAAAUAAAUCCAGCCCAUUCAAACUUAUUUGCAAAUAAGGAAAAUUCUUUUAUAUACACAAAAAUUACCCCCAAUUCAUUGAAACCCAAUUCAACUUCAAUUUCAUGAUUUACACCCCAAUUUAGCCCAAUUUUAUCAAUUAACAAAUUUUAACCCUGAUUUCAAUUUUGACCCCGCCACCACCGGCGACCGCCGGUCGCCGCCGUUGACCGGCGUUGAUUUUUUUUUUUUUUUUUGUUUUGAAAAACUUUUUUUUUUCCCGAAUUUUUUUUUUUCCGGCCGGUCAACUGCCGUUGACAGCCGGGUCUCCGACGUUGACUUUUUUUUUUUUUUUUUUAUAAUUUUGUUUUUUCUUAAAAAAAAAUAUUUUAAUUAAUAUUACUGUCAUGGCUGCUAAAUUACUGUCUACGGCAGUUAUUUGACGGCCGGAGACAGUAAUUUAACAGUUAAUUGAUUUUUUUUUUCUUCAAAAAUAUUUUAAUUAAUAUUACUGUAUCUGUGCUAAAUUAGUGUCUCCAACAGUUAUUUAACUGUCGGAGACAGCAAUUUAAUGUUAAUUGACUUUUUUAUUCUUAAUUUUUUUUUUAAUCAAUAUUACUGUAUUCGUUGCUAAAUUACUGUCUCCAGCAGUUAUUUAACUGUCGGAGACAGUAAUUUAACUGUUAAUUGACUUUUUUAUUCUUAAAAAAACAUUUUUAAUUAAUAUUACUGUAUUCGUUGCUAAAUUACUGUCUCCAGCAGUUAUUUAACUGUCGGAGACAGUAAUUUAACUGUUAAUUGACUUUUUUUCUUCUUUAAAAAAAUUAUUUUAAUUAAUAUUACUGCCUUGGCUGCUAAACUACUGUCUCCAACAAUAAUUUAACUGUCUUAGACAAUAAUAUUAAUAAUAUUACUGUUCUGGAAAAUAAUAUCCAUAAUAUUACUGUCCCAAACAGUAAUAUUAAUUAAAAUAUUUUUUUUCUAAGAAAAAAAAAGUCAACGCCGGAGACCGGCGGUCAACGGUGGUUGACCGGCCGGAAAAAAAUUUCAGGAAAAAAAAAUUUCAAAAAAAAAAAAAAAGAAAGUCAACGCCGGAAUCUGGCUGGAAAAGAAACAUUUCAGAAAAAAAAAUAUUUUCUGAAUUUUUUUUUGGGGGGUUAAUGUGAUAUAUUUGUUUAAAUUUGGGGUUAAUGUGUAAUAUUAUGGAAAUUAGAGCAUAAUGGGUGGAAUUGAUAAGAAUUAUAUUAUGGAGGGUAUUUUAGACUAAAGACAUGGGGAUGGGUUUAAUUGAGAGACUGAAUUUUUGUGGACCAAAAUGCAUUUAAGUCCCAUGUGAUGGACCUUUUUGCCAUUCGCCCUAAAACAUAAUUAAAAGAGACACGUAUUUAAUGUGGUGAUGAUACCAUUAUAUGUUGGGUGGCCGUUCAAAUAUCAUUAAUAUUACAGACCUUUAAUCAAAUGAAUUACAUAGAUUAAUAUGUUGGGUGGUGAUGAAUUACUCCUGGUGUCAAACUCACAGAUCCACGCCCAGCAGUCAGAACUUCAUCCUAGUGCUCAGAUCUCAGCCUCACUCCGACUGUAGUCUCAACCCAACCCAAAACCCCAAGGAUUCGAACUCACACACAGUGUUUUCCCAGAUCUGUUACCCUCACUCACAGAGGUCACGAAACCACUCACAACAGAGAGGUUUAAGACAAGAAGGUAGAAUAUAGGAAUUUUUCGUGGUGUUUCUUCAUCUUCAAGAAGAGAUGUAUAUAUACCCACACAGCUGCAGCAAGAAAGGAAAGAGAAUCGACCGAAUCUCCGACCGCCAUGGAAUCCGGCGAAAGAUUCAGCCGUAGAGAAGAGAAAGAAGAGAGGAGGUGCAGCUGUUAGGGUUAGGGUUUGAGGAUUAGAGAGAGUGGGGUGAUAUAUAUAUGUGGCAUGGAUGGCUGAGAUCGAGACUUCUCAAUCAACGGUCCAGAUUGAAUCUGCUUGGGCAUUAAGUGAGCUAAUGGGCCGACACCAAGGGCUGCACAAAGUGGACAGCAAUUUUGGGUCAAAUAAACAUUUUGGCCCCUUUUAUCUAACAAUCUCCACUUGGGACCAAAUGGACUAUCGGGACAAAAUUGGGAUAUGAGGUCAUCAUUGCCGUUUUAAAUGUACCUGCACAACACAACACGAAGUCAGCAACGUACAUUAAAAAAUUAAUCACACAGAUUAAAAAUAGAGGCAAUCACGAAGACAACCCUAUAAUUACACACAAUAAUUAAGACUGAGAGAUUAGGCUCAAGCUUUUCAAGCAAGAGCGAAACUUCUCGAGUGGGAGACACUUAAUACCCAUAUCUGCUGGAUUAAAUUGUGAUGGGAUUUUUUCCAGCUUGAUAAUACCAUGUUCCACAAUAUUACUAAUGAAAUGAUACUUAAUCUCAAUGUGUUUAGUACGAUCGUGGAAAACCGGGUUUCUACAUAAUUGAAUUCCCGAUUGGCUAUCCGAGAAAACAGUGACAUUCUUUUUAAGAAAACCAAUUUCGCGUAGAAUGCCUUUAAGCCAUAGAGCUACUUUCAUUGCCUCGGUGGCAGCGAUGUAUUCAGCCUCGGUUGUAGAUAGAGCUACAAUAUUCUGUAGUUGCGAUUUCCAACUAAUGCAUGAUCCACACAAAGUGAAAACGUAAGAAGUGGAGGAUUUCCUACUGUCUCUAUCAUUUGCAAAGUUGGAGUCAACAUAGCCAAUUAAUUCAAUUUCAGUUUUAGAUUUAGAAAAAUUUAGGCCACCAUGCAAAGAAUAUUUAAAAUAACGAAGAAGCCAUUUCAAAGCUUCCCGAUGCGGCAUACCUGGGUUCGACAUAUAGCGACUCAAACAACUUACCGCAUAAGCUAUAUCAGGGCGAGUGCUUACCAUCAAGUACAUCACAUAACCUAUCGCAUUGGCAUAAGGAACAUUUUGCAUAGAGUCAAUUUUAGUUUCAGUCUUGGGGGACUGAUCCUUACUUAAUUGAAAAUGGGCAGCUAAAGGCACGUUUGCAGGUUUAGCAUUAGACAUGGCAAAUUUUUCUAAGAUCUUACUCACAUAAGAAAUUUGAUUCAAGAACAACAAAUUAUUAUCUCGAUUGUGAUCAAUGUUCAUGCCCAAUAUUUUCUUAGCAUCCCCUAAGUAUUUCAUAUCAAAUUGUUCACUUAGACGCAUUUUCACAUGAUCAACAGAUUUCACACAAGGACUGAUUAUGAGCAUAUCAUCAACAUAGAUCAACAAGAAAAUAGGCACAGAGUGAGUAUCUUUGAAGUAAAGACAAGGGUCAUAGUCACUUUUCUUAAACUUUAACGAAAGCAUGCAAGAAUUGAAUUUCUUAUUCCGUUGCCUAUGUGAUUGUUUCAAGCCAUAUAAAGAUUUUUUCAGCAAACACACAUAUUCAGGCUUUUUAGCAUCUACGAAGCCCUCAGGCUGUUUCAUGUAAAUAUGCUCAUCUAACUCACCAUGAAAGAAAGCAGUUUUUACAUCCAUUUGUUUUAAUUCUCAAUUAAAAUGCGCAACUAAUGCAAGCAUAAUACGAACAGUGGUAAAUUUAACAACGGGAGCAAAAAUUUCAGUAUAGUCUAUACCUUCCUUUUGCGUGAAACCUUUAGCAACAAGACGAGCCUUAUACCUAAUGGAGUCUAUCUCAUCCCUAACCUGAAACAACUAUUUGCAGUCUACCAAAGAGCAAUUAGCAGGUUUAGGAACAAGAGUCCAAGUUUGAUUAACAUGCAAAGAGUUCAUUUAUUCUUUCAUAGCAUUUAACCAUUCAGCUGAUUUAUCAGAUUUUAGAGCAUCCCUAAUAGUUGUAGGUUCAUUGCUAUCUAUAGAUUCAAACACAUUGAAAACAUGAGAAGCAAGAUGAAAUCUAUCAAAACGUUGUGGAGGCCUAGCAUUUUCACGUCUAGGUCAAUCUCUAGCAAGUUGAUAAUCAGACAAGUCAUCCACAUUAGGCAAGUCAUGUUGAAAAUUUUGGUCAUGCAAACUUUCAAGUAUUUCAGAUUCAAUAUCAGACAGAUUUUCAGAUUCAACAGUAGGCAGCUCCACCUCAUUUGGAGCAGCCUCCGAAUUCACAGUAUUAUGCACAACAAGGCAAGGAAAAAUAGAUUCAUUAAAAAUCACAUCACAACUAAUAGCAAUUUUAUAGCUAUGUUCCCCUUUAACCCAAAGUCUAUAACCUUUAAUCCCUUCGGGAUAACCCAAGAAAACACAUUUCACAGAACGAGGUUCAAGUUUAUCACUUUUAAGAUGCAUAAAUGCAGCACAACCAAAAACACGUAAGUUGGACAAAUAAACCUUUUUACCCGACCAAACACAUUCAGGCAAAUCACCAUGUAAAGGCACAGAGGGAGAUCUAUUAAUCAAAUAGGUGGCAGUCAAAAGAGCCUCACCCCAAAACAUAGUUGGUAAACCCGAAGUGGCGAGCAUGGCUCGAACCCUCUCUAAAAGAGUUCGAUUCAUGCGUUCAACCACCCCGUUUUGCUGAGGGGAGUAAGGAACAAUUUUAUGCCUUUUAAUACCAGAUUCAGAGCACAUAGCAUCCAUUUCUUGAUUCCAAAAUUCUGUACCAUUAUCUGUCCUAAGGGUUUUUAUCCGUUUUCCUGUUUGAUUCUUAAUAUAAACUUUCCAUGUUUUGAACUUAUCAAUAACAUCAGAUUUUUGUUUCAACAGGAAGACAAAUACCUUACGAGAGAAAUCAUCAAUUAUGGACAGAAAGUAACGGUUCCCAUAAUGUGUAGGAACACUGGCAGGACCCCACACAUCACCAUGCACAUACUCAAGAAUAUCAGAACAUUUAGAGGGAUUGGGGGAAGGGGUUGGUUGAAAAGAAACACGAGUUUGCUUUCCAACGAUGCAAGAGUCACACAUAGUAACCUCAGACACUUUAUCAUUGCCAAAAUAGUGAUUGUUAUGCAGGAUGCUGAGACCUUUAUUACUAAUGUGACCUAGUCUAUUAUGCCACAGAAUAGAAUGAUCAGUUUGGACAGCAUUCACAGAAGCAGAUGAUUCAGAAUGAUAUACAUACAUAUUUUGCAUUCUUAUGGCCUUAAAACAUAGCAGAUUACCCCUCAUAAUUUUCAUGCAACCAUUACCCCAACCACCAUGAAACCCAUCAUCUUCUAAGAUAGCACAUGAAAUCUAAUUUUCACUUAAAUUAGAAACAUGCUGCACAUUUUGCAAAGUUAACACAUAACCAGUUUCAAACUUCAAGCAAACAGUUCCAAUUCUAUGAACUUGGCGUUUUGUGCCAUCAGCCAUAGUCACAUUGCAAUUAUUCAAUGAUUCAUAGUGGGAGAAAACAUGUUUCAUAGGAGUCAUAUGAUGUGAGCAUGCAGAAUCUAAAAGCCAAUAAUUUUCACCAAGAAACGAUAGCACAUAAUUCACACAAGCAUGUUCACCAACCAUAAACACUUCACCAAGAUUAUUAUCAGAAUCAUGAUUAGCAUGCUGAUCAUUAGAGUGCUUAUUAGGCUUAGUACAGUUCUGAGCAUAAUGACCAGGUUCACCACAAUUAUAGCACUUACGAUUACUAACACGAGUUUUCGACUUACUCCUGCCCCUGCCCUUUUUCUUUUGAAAGUUGUUUUGAUGAGAACUAUUUUGAGAAACAUUUUGGUUACUAGAGGAAGGCUUAUUUGAAAAUCGAUUUUGAUGCCUUCCUCUCACAAAGUUUACCUCACCAAAACUCUUAUUGCUUUUGUUAACUCUCAAAUCCAGUUCUUUACUCUUUAAACCGUUUAUGACAGUGUCAAGAGAAAUAUUAUCCCUGCCAUACUUAAUAGCAGAUUUCAAAUCGUUGUAAGAAUCAGGAAUUGCAUUUAACAAAACAAUGGGAGUAUAGUUAUCAAUACUUUUGUCUCCCGUCAGUUUAAUAUCCUGAACUAAUCUGGUAAACUGAUCUAUAUUCUCAUCAAUAUUUUUGGUUAGAUCCAAUUUGAAUCUAAAAAACUUUUCGAGUAAAAACAAUUUUGAGGGCAGAGAAGUUUCAGUGUACAGCUCGUCUAAUUUUUCCCCCAAACCUUUGGCAGAAUCAUGCAUACCUACCUUUCUAAUCACAGAGUCAGAAAGAUUCAAUAUAAUGGCAGAGUAAGCAAGUUCAUCAAGCUCUAUUUUCUUAGAAGCACUAGUUUCAGGAGCAUAAGAUUCAUCAAUAGCCACGUAGCAUCUUUGUUGAAUUAACACACCUUUCAUUUUCUGUUUCCAAAUAGAAAAAUCACCCUUACCAUCAAAAGGAGUCAUAGAAUAGACAGACAUGACAGCCAUACAAAUUUCAGCACAAAGCAAGAUAUUAGACAAAUUUUUCACAAUAGGCCAAAAGUGGGAUAAGUGCAUAUGCAACAAGGAUAGACAAUCUUGGAGACCCUCCCUCACAGGAUUCCUGGUCACUUGCGGUCCGGUCAAGUGAGGUCAAGAAUCCAAGUUAUACCACCCUUUAAUAUUUAUAUAUAAGUGAGCCGUUUAUAUAUAUGCAGCGGAAGAAUAAUGUUCACACAGAAGCAAGAGUGGCACACAUACCACAACAGAACACACAGAGUGGCACACGGACCACGAGUCACACAAAGUGGCUCACAUACCACAUAAUAUAAAAACUAAGGCAGUACCAAUCACAGCAGAAAAUAAAUCCCAACCAUAGAGGGUUUAUGGUACAAUACCUGAGCGGAAUCCGGUUGGAUUCCCGUACGCCCUAUUUGAACGAGCACCCCCAACUUGACGAUGCUCUGGUACCACUGUUGGGUGGCCGUUCAAAUAACAUUAAUAUUACAGACCUUUAAUGAAAUGAAUUACAGAGAUUAAUAAGCCUAAGGGGAAGGGGAUUAGGACUUAACAAAUAAAUUACAGAAAUAAUAAUGAUAAUAAAACAAGAACUAAUGUGGGGCAGAUCGAAAAUCUGCCCGUUUUCAACUCCGGUGGAGAAGAUGACACAACAACGGCUCAGUCCUCGUUUCCCGUGUCCACGUCCGGAGUCCAGUCGGCGGCAACCAGUACACUCCUGGUGUCAAACUCACAGAUCCACGCCCAGCAGUCAGAACUUCAUCCGAGUGCUCAGAUUUCAGCCUCACUCCGACUGUCGUCUCAACCCAACCCAAAACCCCAAGGAAUCGAUCUCACACACACAGUGUUUUCCCAGAUCUGUUACCCUCACUCACAGAGGUCACGAAACCACUCACAACAGAGAGGUUUAAGACAAGAAGGUAGAAGAUAGGAAUUUUUCGUGGUGUUCUUCAUCUUCAAGAAGAGAUGUAUAUAUACCCACAUAGCUGCAGCAAGUAAGGCAAGAGAAUCGACCGAAUCUCCGACCGCCAUGGAAUCCAGCGAAAGAUUCGGCCGUAGAGAAGAGAGAGAAGAGAGGAGGUGUAGCUGUUAGGGUUAGGGUUUGAGGAUUAGAGAGAGUGGGGUGAUAUAUAUAUGUGGCACGGAUGGGUAAGAUCGAGACUUAUCAAUCAACGGUCCAGAUUGAAUUGACUUUAAGUGAGCUGAUGCGCCGAGACCAAGGAAGUGGGCUGCACAAAGUGGGUCAGCAAUUUUGGGCCAAAUAAACAUUUGGGCCCCUUUUAUCUAACAUUAUACCCUGUAUACACGAUGGUCUAAAAAAAUGAAUUUUCACUAUUUUAGUUUUACAAGCACAAUAUCAGGUCUUAAACAAUAAACUAAAGACUCCCUCUUUAUCUUACGAUCUUUUUGUGCAAUAUUCAAAACUAGCGACUCCGAUUAUGCUUGCCUCCUCUCUGCAGUCGGCAGAUUGAUCUUCUCCCAGAUCUUUUAAGCCCAUCUCUCAAAGAACCGAUCUCAUAUAUCAUAAUGUUUGCAAGAUUGGCUACAGAUUUCAUAUCAAUAGUGAGAAUGUAGGCCAUUUUCGUUCGUCUCGUGGUGUUAGGCAGGGGGAUCCUUCAUCACCCAUGUUUUUUAUUAUUGGUCAGCAAAUCUUAGCUACUAAUCUAAAGAAAGAGAUUAAGUCGGGUAAUAUUCGGCCAUACAAGACGGGAAGAAAUGAGCCUGACAUUUCUCAUUUUUUUUAAUGCCGAUGAUGUGCUCAUCACCGCCAACGGUUUUUCGAUUAUUUAUUUGGGUGUGUCGGUUUCGGUGGGGCGUAACAAGGCGACAGAUUAUGAAUUUUUAGUGUCUAAAAUCUGUAUGAAAUUAGAGGGCUAGAAAGAUCAUUUACUUUCAUUUGGUGGGAAAAUUACUUUGAUUAAAUCGGUUUUGGCAAGUAAUCCAAUAUACACACACACUCUCAUGGAAACUUGUACAGUUCCAAGCUCUGGAGAAAUCACAGGUAUCCAUUUAUUUAUUUUUUGAUAUAUUGUUUUGGGUAUAAAGGAUUUUAUAAAAUGAGAAAUUGAGUUAUUUUCCUGUUGUGCUUAUUUUAACUCGCGCAUUUGUUUAAUCAAUAUGUGGUUUGUUAAUAUGACAAACUCGGGAACUAUUUUUUACUCUUAUUUUAUAUUUUUACUUGAAACUUGGAUCUAAUCGGAUAAUAAAUAGUGUUGGAAGUGGAAUGAGCAAAAGUUUGAUUUUUUUGUCAAAAUAAUUUGGUUAUAGUAUGAAAUAUUUUUUAUGAUCAUAUUGUCUUUUAAUUGAUACAAUCUCUUUGACAUUUUAAAUUAAUUAUUUGCUUCUAUGUUAUUAGUUAUAUGUUAAAUCCGCCUGAAGUAAGAAUGUUGUGCAUUUGAUUUAAUCAUUCUUUAUAACAUUGUUUUUCAAUAUUUUGAAGAAUUGGUAUAUAUUUUUAAGGUAAAUAGCAUUUUGCCAUCUGUACUUUGUCCGUU
Molecule: long non-coding RNA, 68139 nt
Filed under: Erythranthe guttata (spotted monkey flower)
Lineage: Eukaryota; Viridiplantae; Streptophyta; Magnoliopsida; Lamiales; Phrymaceae
Description: long non-coding RNA (EGUT_LNC000360)
Source: RNAcentral